This 54579-nucleotide long non-coding RNA is filed under the name Citrus maxima (pomelo). RNAcentral's name for it is "long non-coding RNA (CMAX_LNC000711)". The record is from RNAcentral. Lineage: Eukaryota; Viridiplantae; Streptophyta; Magnoliopsida; Sapindales; Rutaceae.
AGUUACCAAUUCCAUUUGAAGAUUUGAGACUUUUAAGGUUUCUCAACCUUGCUGACACUGACAUAAGAAGUUUACCCGAGUCAACAUGCAAAUUGCUGAACUUGGAAAUUUUUAUAUUAAGAAAUUGUUCCCGUUUGAUAAAGCUUCCAGCCAAAAUGAGGAAUUUGAUCAAUUUACGCCAUCUGGAUAUAAGAGGUGCGAAGUUGCUGAAGGAGAUGCCAGUCGGAAUGAAAGAGCUGAAGAAGCUUCAAACAUUGUACAAUUUCAUUGUGGGCAAGGGUGAAACUGCAUCCGGUUUGGAAGAAUUAAAAAGUUUAAACUUUCUUUGUGAUGAACUUUGCAUUGCUGGAUUAGAGAAUGUGAAUAAUCCACAGAAUGCAAGAGAAGCGGCAUUAUGCGAGAAGCACAAUCUUGAAGCACUGACUCUAGAUUGGGGGUCUCAAUUUGACAAUUCUCGAGAUGGAGUAGUAGAAGAGCAUGUACUGGAAAUUCUACAGCCUCAUAAACGUAUAAAAAAGGUGGCAAUCAGGAACUAUAGAGGUGCAAGAUUUCCACAUUGGAUAGGAGAUCCUUUGUUCUCCAAAAUAGAGUUCCUUGAAUUGGAGAACUGUGACAAUUGUGUAUCUUUGCCAUCGCUUGGCCGUUUGAGUUCACUUAAACACCUUGCUGUUAAAGGGCUGAAGAAACUAAAAAGCAUAGAGUCUAAGGUUUAUGGGGAGGGUUUCUCAAUGCCUUUUCCAUCAUUGGAGAUUCUAAGUUUCGAGAAUUUGCCAGAAUGGGAGCAUUGGGACACCGAUAUCAAAGGAAAUGUACUUGUUGAAAUAUUUCCUCGUCUCCAUAAACUUUCCAUUGUGGAAUGUCCCAAACUCUCCGGAGAACUGCCUGAUCUCCUGCCCUCCUUGGAGACACUUGUUGUUAGUAAAUGUGAAAAGUUGGUAGUUCCAUUGUCUUGCUAUCCGAUGCUCUGCAGAUUAGAAGUUGAUGAGUGCAAGGAACUAGCGUGCGCGACUCCAAUUGAUUUUAAGUUGAUAAAGUCUGUGACUAUUUCAAAUUGUUCACUAGACAUGUAUGGAUGCAAGGGGAUGCUAUACAAUGGUCCAGCUGGCUCUUCACUGCCGAAAUCCAUGACUAUUACAAAUGUUUUGGCGUUUGGAAAAUUAUUGAAGCCUGAAUUUCAGAUAUUAGAAACUUUGGUAAUUGACAAUUCUGAACAGCUCAUGUCAUGGAGGCAGCGUGGGAAUUUCCGAGAAGAAUAUUUGGCCGUUCGCCGAAGGCUUAUCAAACCAUUACAAGGGCUAAAUAUGCUCGCUUCCCCAGAAGAGGUAACAAUUGAAGAAAGUUGUGUGAGUUUUGUUUUAUUUUCAGAGAUCAAUUUCUUUCCCAGAAAUCUGCGCUCUCUUCUAAUUUGCAGCAGCACAGCUUUAAAAUCCUUACCCGAUGAAAUGAUGGACAACAGUUCACAACUCAAAAGGUUGUAUAUCAGAGAUUGCGAUUCUCUAACAUUCAUCACAAGACGCAAGCUACCUUCAUCUCUAAAAAGUAUAGAGAUUCAGAAUUGUGAGAAACUGCGACAUUUGUUCGAUGAUAAAGAGGAUGCUUCUUCUUCUUCUCCUCCUUCAUCCUCGCCCUCCCCAGUGAUGCUGAAACACCUGAGUAUAAAUAAUUGCCCAGAGCUCACCAGUUUAUCAACAGGAAUCCAAUUACUUGAGGCGCUUGAACACCUCGACAUACGGGAUUGUCGAAAGCUGGAGUCAUUACCAGAUGGCCUUCACAAUCUUAACUGUUUACAGGAGAUUACUCUAAACAGUUGUCCAAGUCUUCUUAGAGGGCUUCCCAACACGAUUUCAAGGGUUGACAUUUACAGCUGUCCAAGUCUUGUUUCCUUCCCAGAAAGAGGACUUCCCAACACGAUUUCAAAGGUUGACAUUUUUAAUUGUGAGAAGCUCGAAGCCCUGCCCAAUGACAUGCACAAACUCAACUCUCUUCGAGAUUUAAGCAUAUUGGGGUGUCGAAAUCUUGUAUCCUUUCCAGAAGAAGGUUUUCCUACCAGUCUAACAUCACUUAGAAUUGGAGAUUUCAAAAUGUAUAAGACACUCAUCCAGUGGGGGUUGCACAGGCUUACCUCUCUUAGACGCCUCUAUAUCGUUGAUUGUGAUGACGAAGCAGAGUGUUUUCCAGACGAGGAGAUAGGAACGAUGCUGCCUACCUCCCUAACUCAUCUAUCCUUUCGGGGAUUCCGAAAUUUGAUAUCUCUGUCUUCGACGGGUUUUCAGAGCCUCAACUCUCUUCAAUACUUGUGGAUCAGGGAUUGCCCGAAUCUCACAUCAUUCCCAGAGGUGGGCCUUCCAUCCUCACUUUUGGCAUUAUGCAUUAUCGAUUGUCCAAAGCUUAAAAAAGCGUGCAAAAGAGAUCAAGGAAAAGAGUGGUCCAAAAUUGCUCACAUCCCUCGCAUUGACAUAGACAGGAAAUUCAUAUACGAUCCAGAAUCAGAGGAGUAGAUUCUACUAUUAAGGUCAGUUGAUUUGUAUUAUCCGCCAUAACAAGCUCCUCCUUUUUUUUUAAAUAAUAAUAAUAAUUCUUACCAAUUAAUGAUGGUAAGAUGUGUACUUAUUCUUUCUUCCGGACAACCUUGCCUUCUUUCUUCGGUAGCAUAUCUAAUGAAUAUUUCUCUGUUUAGUUAAGGAUGAAUGCUUGGAGUGGAGUAUUUGGUAACAUUUCUGCCGUAGAUGAAACCUUGAAGAAAUGCCUGCACUUCCUGAGACCAAAUACAGGUCUGAUUCACAACAACACCUGUCCCAGAAAAUAUGAUACAAGCCAAAGCCAUGUUCUGAAGCAGAAAUAACGCAUUUCAAUUUUUAUCUGGUAAAAAUACACAGCCCUCGCCUACAAAAUUCUUAUCUUGGCUUUCACGGAUAUUUUUAUCACGUAACCACGUGAGGAAGCAUGUGCUGGAGCCUGAAUUCAGUUAGUUAAAGUUUGUUAACCACGUGUCAACAAACUGUAUAAUCUGGAAAAUACGCUAGCUAUUGAAACAGGGUAUAAAGGCUGGUUUUUCAGGGACUAUCGAGAGCUGAUUCUAGAGUCUUGUAGAAAGAGGUUUGUGAGAGAGAAAGUGUCAUCUUGUUCUCUGUAAAAUCCGAUAUAGGGCUCUGUAACGAUCUCCAUUGUUGAAUCAAUAAAACUCAUCUAGAAGCUUCUCCCGUGGACGUAUUCUGAGCAUUCAAUGCACAGCUGAACCACGUAAUAUCUUGGUUUCAGUGGGUUCUUGUUUUGGUUCUUGAUAAAUUCUUGUUGUUGUAUUGAGGUGUGAUUUGAUGUGUCUAAACUUGCAUCUGUGCAACUUGAAUUGAUUUGAUGAUAAUAAUCUUGGGCAGUGAUCAGAUUCGUUUAGUUUAAAGAACAAGCUGAUUACUACCGUACCUAUGCAUGGACCUGUAACCUGUGCUGACAAAACUGAAACUAUGAGUUUGAGGUAAAAAGGUCCUGGACCCUCACAGUUUAACUUGGACUUGUAGCUUUCUGGAUAAACACAUUUUAGAAGUUUGCAAUUUGUUGUUAAUUACGGUAUGUGAUUUUCUUUUUUGUUUUCGCUUUUGUAGAAUCUACCGUAUUACAUAUUGGCAGUUGUAUCUGAGGUACCAUUUUUGCAUUUAACUUGCCUUUAUCUGUUUUGCCUGUUACUUAACAACACAUCAUUUCCCAAAGAUUUGGAGAAGCAUCUCAAGAUGCUUAACAAACUUGACAAACUUCAAGAUGCUCCCAAGCCUUGAUUCUUCACAAAGGAAGACCUGUGAGUACACUUAUGCCCGCAAUUAUUGUGAAGUGAUUGCAACUUUGAUGCAGCGAAACGGUUUGCUGGUGCAAAGCUUUAAAACUGUUAAGAAUUACCCUGCAGGCUUGUUGGAUGUUGUAUACUCCGAAAGCCACCAACACCAAGAACUAUAACAGCAAGACUAGGUUUGCAUUAAUUCAAUUAGCUGAAAUAAUGAUGCAAAUGGCACUAUCCAGCUCGACUUAGAGACUAGUCAGGUCAAUCAUCCAUUUCAUCAACAGUUAAUGUCAGGAUGGUGGCUAGCAGAGGAAACAAAGGAUAUGUUGGAAUCAAUAAGAACAGUGAGAAGCAUGAGAGGAGCUUUGAUUAUAAGUAGGCUCAAUGAACUAGUGUUGGUAAGUGGUAAUUAGAGCAAUUUGUGAGCUUAGUAGAGUUUCAAUAUUUUCUGUUUGGGAUAUAGUUGAUAAGUUGAUACUCUGAUAAAGAAGGCUGAUUAUAGUAGCUGACUAUAUUAACCGGGUUCUCUUUUUUGGUUUGCUGUUGUUUUUUCUUUCAAUAUCUUUUUCAACAUUAGGUUUAAGAACAAGCUUGGGUUUGAUUAUCAGGUAAGAACAAAUGAAUGCUUUAACCAUGUUUCUCACUUAUCACAAUGCACGGAUUGAAGGCGUCUGAGUUGAUCCUGAAACGUGCCUCAGCAAGUAUUAUGAUUAUUAUUUUAAAAAACUCAACCUAAGCAACGUGCCUCAGCAUACAAUAUUUAUUGACAACUAAAAAGUAAUAGUGGGUGGGGGUUGCCCUGGGUUUUGUUUAAAAAUUGAAGUAAAAAAUUUUCAAAUUUCAAAUUUCUAGUACAAAGAAAAUUGAUGACUAAAUUAAAUUCUGCAAAUUAAUUUCUAAUAUUACAUGAAAAUAUUAUCAAGUUAACUGGUAACAUCGUUAAUCACUUAAUUCUCAGUCUAAUACGUUAUGUAUUUGUUACUCUGUCUUAAAUCAAAAGUGGCGGUGAUUUAUUUUUAUUUUCACUAAUCAGAAAGGCAUGUUAGAGCUUUUAUUUUGUCGAAAAUGAACCAAAAAAACUCCGAUUGGGAGAUUAUAAAUGUAAUUAACAAUAAUUUAACUUCCAUUUUGAAAGUCAUUAUAUUGUUUAUUCAGGAGAAGCGUUCUUUUAUAUUUUAUAGAUAUAAUGUUUGCUAAUCCUAAUUUAAGCUAAAGCAUAUGCAUUUCCUAAUUAAUUCUAAUUUAAGCUUAUUCAACUGCAUUCAAUUAAUGUUCGAUAAUACAAAUUCUAAAUACUAUAUACUCUAAGAAUUUUAAUCGUAAUGACAAGGUGAUCAUUUAAUUAUUACCGUUAAAUUAUAUAUGUAUGGUGGAGACGAGUCCACACGGUUUUGACGAGAAAUUAAAGACAAUAUUUAGUUAAGCUAGUAGUAUUUGUUCUGUUUAGUACGUCGUUUUACCAGCAAGCAUCCCGGCAAUGCACGCAUUAAUAAAAACAUUUAUCUGUUUGGACUGACUGGUAGUGAAAAAUUCCACAUACUUUAAAUCAAGAAAAUGCUAAGCAUCUUAAAGAAAACAAUUAAAAUAUUGUCACUUGAUGCUUGAAUCAUUAUUGUUAAAUAUCUCCGUUGAGUUGUAUUCCCCAGUUGUGAGUAUCAUUAUUGUUGUUUGUGCGAUAUGUUUCGACGAAGACCAGCAGUGAUGAGCAGGCGUCUGGUAGCAGGGUUCCUCGAACAGGUAUAUCUUGCAAGAGUCUGGUAGCAGGGGGAGCAAGAGCAGGAGUAUCCUGCUCGUCCACGAGUACGUCAUCCACGAGGCCGGUCUCCUGUUGGGAGCGUAAAGCCAUUCCUGCUAUAUUCCUGCUAGCGGUUGAGUCGAGGAGACCCGGUCAACGACAGUUGACGAGACAUGCUCUCCAGUCCGAGAAUCAAGGCGCGAAGGCCACGCAACCACCCACGACUACGGAAAUGGAGCAUCCACUUUCGAGAAGUGGGAGGAUGACAAGCGCAAAGGGAGGAAAUGCAUGGGCUCAGAAGUGGCCUAUAAAAAGGUAACCAACGAAGGUAAAAGGGUUAGCAAUUUUGAGAUUAUAACAGAGACUAAGGAAAUUCUAAAGAAGAGAAAACUAUUAAAAAGCCAUAAGAUCUGUGGCAAGCGUUCCCAGAGCCUUCAUAUCUGACUUGAGCGUCGGAGGGUUUACGCCGGGAAAACAACCGGCGUGCUCUGACUUGUUUCUGUGGACGCAGGAAUACUUGGAGAAGAAAGCAUACAAGGAGAGAUCCUGGUCGAGGUGAGGUUGAUUGAGCAGAUAUCCUGGUCGUAGGAAGAGCGUAACCAGAAUCUCGCAUCAAUAUUUUGGCGCCGUCUGUGGGGAGCUGAGCAAAAAGUUUCUGUUGAUAGCAAAGAAGAGGAGUGAAGCAAGUGAAAAGCAAUGGAGACAGGAGGAAGUAGUGCACAAGGGGGUGAUAUGAGGCUUAACGAUUCCGUGACGCUGAGGGAGAUAGCCAGUGAAGCACGGGAAAAAGCCAUGUUCGACCGGAUGGAACGGAUGGAAAAGCAGAUGGAGACCUUGACAACCAUCCUACAUGAGCUGCGGAGCGAACGAAGGGUAACCCAGGAGGAAAGGGUGAGAGGUGGUGGAGUGGCACCAGGUCCCGAUAGUGCGAGGAGAAGUCAAACCACCGGGAGAUUUGGUGGUGAGAGAGGUAACAUACCUCUGCAGGGAAAUUGCAUAGAGAGGAAGAGCAGUCCCCGGCAAGACAGAUUUUUGACGAGGACGACGGGGUGGCGAAUGCAGAGGAAGCAGAGUUGAGGCAAUACUUGCAUGAUGUAGUGCAAGAGCGGGAUCAAGUCGCAGCACGUGACCCUGGUCGUGCAGAGCAGCUGGAGGAGGAAGUGUGCAGGCUAGCGCAGAUAAUUGACGACAUACAAGGAAGGAGCAGAGCUCCUGGUUGGAGGAUAAUGCUGGACGGAGAAUCACCGCUCGCAGCAGAGAUCAUGAGGGCAGUUAUUCCAAGAGAUUUCCGCCUCCCAGACCUUAGAUAUUCGGGAUGAACUGAUCCGCUGGUGCACAUAGAGCGCUUCAACGACAUAACUGGGGUACAAGGAUUAUCUCAAUCCUAAAGGUGCAGGGUGUUCCCACUAUCCCUUGAGGGACGCGCACGAGAGUGGUACAGGAAACUUCCUCGGGGGAGCAUUAAAACCUUCGAGCAGAUGUGCCAGGAAUUUGCAGAACAGUUCCGUGGGGCAAUGGCACCAGAAGAUGACAUGAUGGAGUUGAAAAACAUGAAGCAGGGGGAACAAGAAACACUUCGGGAAUUCAUCAAGAGGUUUCACCGUGCUGUCCUCGACUUGGGAGCCUUCAACCACCCUCAAACGUUAAGGGGAUUGAAAGAAGGGGUGAAGAUAGGAAGGCUGUGGUACAACUUGAGAAGCCCAGUUAUUCAGACGUAUGCGGCCGCAUACGAGCAGGCUAAGAGAGACAUUGAGAUUGAAGAGGAGAAGGCAGCACAGAUUAAGACAGACCAGUUAGAAGGGUGGGGGAGGAAAGAGAAGAAAGCAUUACCGGGGAAUGGGCCGAUCAGGAGGAGGAACCACCAGGCCUCGAGUAGUGGAGCAGAAGGUCGGGUAACUGCUUACCAGCCUCAUCAGAGGCCACUACAGUAUCAGCACAGCAGGGCGCAACCUCCUCGUUCCCCAGCUGGGGAGCCUUGGAGAAGGCAUGACUCGGCGUAUGGUGGUCUUCAUCAACACUCCCACGGUAGUAGAAGGGGCAGACCAGAAGCGCUGCCACCGCCUCCAACUCAGAACGGAGCAAAUAGAGAAAGGGCAGUGCACCUGAUCGACCAGAACCAGGACUAUGGGCGAUAUACUUCCUUGAAGAUGUCCCUGGCCGAGGUGUACGAGGCCAUAAAGGAUCGAGGGUCGUUAUACCUCCCUGCCCCAAUAACAAAGCUACCCAGCAGGAGGGAUAGGGGACGCUAUUGUAAGUUCCAUGGCACUCAUGGCCACACCACAGCAGAUUACAGGGAUCUCAAGACCCAGGUUGAAGAUUUGGUGAGAAAUCGGUAUCUGGACGAGUUUAUAGAUGGGACCUUCCCAAUGGUAGCCUCGACCAGCGAAUGGGAGCAGAGUGACAGGAACUUGAGGCGCGAGCAGCCUGCAGUAAGGGUGAUAGCUGGGGGCCCAACAUUGGCCGGAGAUUCCAACAGGUUGAGGAAGAAUUACGCUAGAUACGCCAUGACCAGCAAAGAUGUAUUCUUCACCACCCCAGCAGCCAAACGUGCAAGAGUCAGGCAAGUGCCAAUUAUGUGGACAGAUGAGGAUGAAGAAGGGAUUCUAUACCCCCACGAGGAUGCUUUGGUCAUCAAGGCCACUGUUGCCAGCAAGAAGUUUGACAGGAUACUGGUUGACACAGGGAGCUCAGUUGAUGUGUUGUUUAAGUCAACCCUGGAGGAGAUGGGAAUAGCAGACCUGAAGUUGGAUUACACCAAUACCUCCUUGAAGGGGUUUGGAGGAGGAAAGUUGGUCCCUCUGGGCGUGGUCGAGCUGCCUAUCACGAUUGGGAGCUCCCCGACAGAAGGGACAAUGAUACUGGACUUUGUGGUAGUGGAUGAGGAAGGUCCUUAUCAGAUGAUCCUAGGCCGGCCAUUUCUGACGAUGAGCAAAGCGGUGCUGUCCAGCCAUUAUCUGGCUCUCAAGUACCGGGUGAAUGGGGUAGUUGGAGUGGUACGAGGAGACCAGAGGAUCGCAAGAAGCUGCUACUCCUCGGCAGCAAAGGAAGCAAUGCAGAUAACAUCCCUUGAUACCCGAGUGGAAGCCAGGAAUGGCAGCUAGUUGGACCCGGAGUUUACAAGCUGGUUCGCACGGAUGGCCACAAGGUGAAACGCCCAUGGAGCGCGACACACCUCAGGAAAUAUUUCUAGUAAGACUUACUCAUCUUUUAAAGUUAUUUCUGUUCGUGCCCGUUGUUUUCUAUUUUUCAUUUCUUAUUUCAAAGCAAUCUCAUGUAAGCCGAAUUCAAUAAUAAAUGAAUCAAUGAGGAGUUUCAGUCAACUACACUGUUCAAGAAAUUAUCAAAGGCAUGCAAAGGCUAGUCAAGUCUCAAAGCCUGUUUAUGGCGAGACCAGAAGCCAAGCGUGCCAGGAUCUGCUCGACCACGAGAAGGCGAGCAGAGUCCCAAGCUUUCAAGAAAUUAUCAAUGGCAUGCAAAGGCUCACCAAGUCUCAAAGCCUGUUUAUGGCGAGACCAGAAGCCAAGCGUACCAGGAUCUGCUUGACCACGAGAAGGCGAGCAGAGUCCCAAGCUUUCAAGAAAUUAUCAAAGGCAUGCAAAGGCUCACCAAGUCUCAAAGCCGGUUUAUGACGAGACCAGAAGCCAAGCGUUCCAGGAUCUGCUCGACCACGAGAAGGCGAGCAGAGUCCCAAGCUUUCAAGAAAUUAUCAAAGGCAUGCAAAGGCUCACCAAGUUUCAAAGCCUGUUUAUGACGAGACCAGAAGCCAAGCGUGCCAGGAUCUGCUCGACCACGAGAAGGCGAGCAGAGUCCCAAGCUUUCAAGAAAUUAUCAAAGGCAUGCAAAGGCUCACCAAGUCUCAAAGCCUGUUUAUGGCGAGACCAGAAGCCAAACGUGCCAGGAUCUGCUUGACCACGAGAAGGCGAGCAGAGUCCCAAGCUUUCAAGAAAUUAUCUAAGGCAUGCAAAGGCUCGCCAAGUCUCAAAGCCUGUUUUAUGGCGAGAUAGAAGCCAAGCGUACCAGGAUCUGCUCGACCACGUGAAGGUGAGCAGAAUCCCCAAGCAUCGGAAUAUUUUCCAAGGCAUGCAAAGGCUCGCCAAGUCUCAAAGCCUGUUUUAUGGCGAGACAGAAGCCAAGCAUGCCAGGAUCUGCUCGACCGCGCGAAGGCGAGCAGAAUCUCAAGCAUUGAAGAAUUUUCCAAGGCAUGUGGCAAAACCAUAUGCCGAGCCAGAACCUGCUAAACUAGACGAAGACGAGCAGAUUCUCAGACGAAAAAUAACUCAUGAUUACAACACAAGAAAGUAAUCAAAAACAUUUUUAUUAAUUUGUUAAUAAUUAACAGAGGAGAUAAUCUUCACAAACAUUGUUCAUUACAAUACAAGAAAUAUAUUAAGAGGACGGUGGAUCCGUAAGCCGAGCAGCCUCAGUCGGUUGGUCCACCUCAGGUGCUGGGGGAGUAUCACCGGUCGCGUCCGGGGGGGUGCUUGCCUCACCCACAUCAACAGGAACGGCACGAGGAGGAGAGUUUUCCUCAACUACGAUUGGUUCCACCGUUUCGGCAUCUUCCUUUGCAGCCUCCUCGUCCAUAUGUUGGGCGACACCAGUUGCAAGGUCGUCCAUCUUCAGAUCAGGAUGCUGCUUCCCGAGGACGACCAUGAUGCAACGAUAGGAAUGCCGAAGCCCCUAGUCGUACUGGUUGUCGGCCUCCCUCUCCAAGUUCUCGACCUGAGCUCGGUGGGAAUCGCGGAGAGAUUCGAGCUGAGCCUCAUAUAUAGCCUUCUGCCUUUGCAGAUCCUCCUCGACCUUGGUCAGCUCCUCCUCGAGGGUAAUGGCUUUUGCUUGAGCAAGAGAUUCUUGCUCUAUCAGCUUGAGGUUCUCAACAUUCAGCUCCCCUGCUUUCUUCUCGGCAGCGUCAGCUCUGGUCGUCGCCGAUUGAAUGUCCUCCUUAAUCUUGCGGUCGUAGCGGCCAACCUUCGCCUUGUAAUAGGUGGUCAUGCAGCUGAGGUAGAAAGCGCUAUACUGCAUGGCCCCCACCAGCUCACCCAAGGUGCAGCCGUCAAAGUCCUCCAGGUCCUUCUUGCUCACGAGUUUAGAUAACUCAUUGAGGUAGGGGACCAAGUGUUCUGCUUGGCUGUCAGGUAAGCGAGAUCGAGGCCCGACAGGAGGAGAAGAGGAAGCAGGAUCCGUGGCUGCUCCACUAGUUUCCCCAACUUUGGCAGGAGCAGGAGGUAAAGUCUUCAAGGGAGAGACUUGCUGUACGAUGUUGGCCUGCUUUGCAGAAGGGGCGUCCUUGUUCUGGUCCCUCUUCGUGGCUUGAGGUUGAGAACGUUUCCUGUUCAGAGCCCCAAUCACAGCGUCCUCCAUCUUAUGGCCAGGGAGUACCAAGCGAGACUCGAGCAAGUUGUAAACAGUUAUCAAUUCUCGGCUCGGGCAAGAGUUGGCUAGUAUAGCCUCGACCCGUUUGAGCUGAUCAGGUUGGAGCGAGAAGUGAACACCCCAAGAACCUGCAACACAAACAAACAUUUGAUUAGAGACAAACCAGUAAAGUGCAAACAACAAGGGAGACAAGACAUCUAAUACGAGCAGGCAACCUGGGACCAUGAAACGGGGUGGGACGCGACAAUCCUUCCCGUCUAUUUGUGCAACUUGACCCCAAGGACCCCCAGCAAAAAAGAAUUUCCUCUUCCAAGUCCCACCACCACCAGUUGGAAGAUCAGUUAUGGGUUUCUUGCUCUUGGUACUAGAUUGGAAGUAGUACCAGCCGGCAUCUUUGGGGCUGCUCUUUAGCUGGUACAGGUGCUUCACCUCAUCAACCGUGGGCUCGCUUUGGCAACAUCUGUCCCACAAUAUGAACAGACCAGAGAGCACCCUCCACCCAUUGGGGUUCAGUUGACCAGGAGCUAGAUUGAGCCCGUGGAGUAUGCGAGCAAAAUAGGGUUGCAAGGGGCACCUUAACCCGUACUUAAAACUCUCCUGGAACAAGGUGACAUAUCCCCUAGGAGGCCUGCUAGGACUAUCUUUUUUUCCUGGGAUCCUAAGGAGUACUUCACCAGGAAUAUGAUACCUGAGCCAGAGGUCAUCCAGCUCGUUGAAUGUGGUCGUGCAGGUCAUGUAAUCAAUAGCAUAAUCCCGCAACAAGGCUCUACCUCCUACUGUACUACGCCCUUCUGGUCGCAGUGUUCCCGGUGAAGAUCCCUCACCAGAGUCACCUCCUUGAUCCUCACUUAGGGUGUCUUCCGAGCCAGAAGGUCCUUCCUCGCCACUACUUCCGCUCGUGGAGGUUGUUUGGGGGGACAUCCUCCUAGCGCUAGUCCCGACACUAGACCUAGUGGGCUCUAAGGGGAUCCCGGGGUCAAAAGCAGAAUCAGUGAGCAGACUAGGCAAGAAACCUAGUUCGUCGUCAUCAGUCUCAAUGACUUUCUCCUUACCCUUCGACAUUCCCUAAGUUCUAACCAAAACACCACCACCGACUACAACCCCAAGUAAAGCAAAGAGAAAAGAAAUUAUCUACAACUAUCCGAGACCGAGGAGAUAGAAGUAAUACCUGAAGUAAUGGUUCAGUUAGAGAAAGGCAGGGGAGGAGACUUUUAUGCCGAGACUUCUUUGCCGGAGAGACAGAGACAGAGAUGGAGUAAAUGACGAAUUUUCCCUUUGAGAGGUUUUGGGUUUUCCUAAUGGAGAAUGAACUUUUGGAUUGCCAGCAUUUAAUAGCAUCGAAUCCCAAGGGUCUCGUAACCGUCGGUUUAAAAUUCAAAUAGAUGGGUAGAUUUCUGCCACAUCACCUGGUCCACAAUUAAAUGCGACACGACUCUUGGCAGCCUUUUCCUAUCCCGCGCGAGCAAGAACUGUCGAGUUUCUACUGUUGGCUCACUACGCUACCCAACACAAGAAACUGGGGGACUGGUGUUUGUGCGAUAUGUUUCGACGAAGACUAGCAGUGAUGAGCAGGCGUCUGGUAGCAGGGUUCCUCGAACAGGUAUAUCUUGCAAGAGUCUGGUAGCCGGGGGAGCAAGAGCAGGAGUAUCCUGCUCGUCCACGAGUACGUCAUCCACGAGGCCGGUCUCCUGUUGGGAGCGUAAAGCCAUUCCUGCUAUAUUUCUGCUAGCGGUUGAGUCGAGGAGACCCGGUCAACGACAGUUGAUGAGACAUGCUCUUCAGUUCGAGAAUCAAGGCGCGAAGGCCACGCAACCACCCACGACUACGGAAAUGGAGCAUCCACUUUCGAGAAGUGGGAGGAUGACAAGCGCAAAGGGAGGAAAUGCAUGGGCUCAGAAGUGGCCUAUAAAAAGGUAACCAACGAAGGUAAAAGGGUUAGCAAUUUUGAGAUUAUAACAGAGACUAAGGAAAUUCUAAAGAAGAGAAAACUAUUAAAAAGCCAUAAGAUCUGUGGCAAGCGUUCCCAGAGCCUUCAUAUCUGACUUGAGCGUCGGAGGGUUUACGCCGGGAAAACAACCGGCGUGCUCUGACUUGUUUCUGUGGACGCAGGAAUACUUGGAGAAGAAAGCAUACGAGGAGAGAUCCUGGUCGAGGUGAGGUUGAUCGAGCAGAUAUCCUGGUCGUAGGAAGAGCGUAACCAGAAUCUCGCAUCAACAAUUGUCUUUGCUCUCUAAUCUAUUCAAUUUUCUUUCUGGAGACAAGAUUUUGAUUCCUUUCAUCGUUACAAAAACGGAACCAUGGUUGAUGUGGGAGAGAUCUUACUCAACGCCUUCUUUUAGGUGAUGUUCGACAGGUUGGCUUCCCGUGAUUUGCUCAGCUUUGUCCGUCAACUUGGAGGGGGGGUCGAUUCCGAGCUCAAGAAGUGGGAAAGAAAGCUGAAGAUGAUUCAGGCGGUGCUCAACGAUGCAGAGGAGAAGCAACUGACGGACGAGGCUGUGAAGAUGUGGCUGGACGAUCUCCAAGACUUGGCUUAUGACGCUGAGGACAUUCUUGAUGAGUUUGCUACUCAAGCUUUGGAAAGCAAGUUGAUGGCGCAAAAUCAGGAUAGCUCUGGCCAACUUCUCAGUUUCAUCCAGGCUAGUUUGAAUCCGAAUGCUAUUAUGUUCAAUUAUAGCAUGGGGUCCAAGAUUAAAGAUAUCACUAGCCGGCUGGAGCAACUCUGCCAAGAAAGAAUUGAACUUGGACUGCAACGGAUUACUGGAGGGGCAUCAUCAACUACUGCUGCUGCACACCAGAGGCUACCCGGUUCAAUUGUCCCAACAGAACGUGAAGUAUUUGGAAGAGAAGAAGAUAAGGCCAAAAUUCUUGAUAUGGUAUUGGCCGAUACCCUAAGUGAUCAUGCCAACUUUGCUGUAAUACCCGUUGUUGGCAUGGGCGGGAUAGGAAAAACAACUCUCGCUCGGGAGGUUUACAAUGACAAGGCCGUUGGCGGUUCCAAGUUUGAUGUAAAAGCAUGGGUUUGCGUAUCUGAUGUCUUUGAUGUUUUGGGCAUCUCAAAGGCACUUCUCGAGUCAAUCACCCGCAGGCCUUGUCUUCUAAACAGUUUAAAUGAAGUGCAGGUUGAAUUGAAAGUAGCUGUGGAUAAAAAAAGAUUCUUGCUGGUCUUAGAUGAUGUUUGGAACGAGGACUACAGCUUGUGGGUAGACUUAAAAGCUCCGUUCCUGGCUGCUGCACCAAACAGUAAGAUGAUCGUCACCACACGCAAUUCAAAUGUUGCAUCAACAAUGGGACCAAUUGAACAUUACAAUCUCAAGAGUUUGUCAGAUGAUGAUUGUUGGUCCAUUUUCAUAAAGCAUGCAUUUGAAUAUAGAGAUCUUAACGCACAUCAAAUUUCAGAAUCGUUCCGCGGGAAAGUUGUUGCCAAGUGUGGAGGCUUGGCCCUGGCAGCAAAAACACUCGGAGGCCUUCUGCAUACGACGAGGCAUGAUGCGUGGGAUGAUACGUUAGAGAGCAAAAUAUGGGAUUUACCUCAACAAAGUGGGGUUCUCCCCGUAUUAAGAUUGAGUUACCAUCAUCUUCCUUCUCAUUUGAAAAGAUGUUUUGCUUACUGUGCAAUCUUUCCAAAAGAUUAUGAAUUCAAUCAGAAGGAGCUGACUUUCUUAUGGAUGGCUGGAGGAAUUAUUCGACAGUCACGAAACAGUGAGCAGCUGGAAGAUUUGGGCAGCAAGUGCUUUCAAGAUCUAGUGUCAAGGUCUAUUUUUCAACAAACCAGCUCUGGUAGUUCUAAAUUUGUAAUGCCCUAUCUUAUCCAUGAUCUUGCUGAAUUGGUUUCUAGAGGGACCAUUUUCAAGUUAGAGGAGUCCACCAACUUGUCGUCGAGGAGAUUUGAAAGAGUUCGCCAUUCUUCCUAUGCCCGCGGUUGGCAUGACGGUAAAAAUAAGUUUGAGGUUUUCUAUGAAAUUGAACAUCUACUAACAUUCUUGCCAUCACGCAUAAGAGGUGGCACUAAUACGAGUUACAUAACUCGAACGGUUCUAUCUGAUUUGUUGCUGAAUUUCAAAAGUUUGAGGAUGUUAUCUUUACAAGGAUACUGUAUUGGUGAGUUACCAAUUUCAUUUGAAGAUUUGAGACUUUUAAGGUUUCUCAACCUUGCUUACACUGACAUAAGAAGUUAUCUGAGUCAACAUGCAAAUUGCUGAACUUGGAAAUUUUGAUAUUAAGAAAUUGUUCUCGUUUGAUAAAGCUUCCACCCAAAAUGAGGAAUUUGAUCAAUUUACGCCAUCUCGAUAUAAGAGGUGCGAAGUUGCUGAAGGAGAUGCCAUUCGGAAUGAAAGAGUUGAAGAAGCUUCAAACAUUGUCCAAUUUUAUUGUGGGCAAGGGUGAAACUGCAUCUUGUUUGGAAGAUUUAAAAUGUUUAAACUUUCUUUGUGAUAAACUUUGCAUUGCUGGAUUAGAGAAUGUUAAUAAUCCACAGAAUGCAAGAGAAGCCGCAUUAUGUGAGAAACACAAUCUUGAAGCAUUGACUCUGGAUUAGGGGUUUCAAUUUGACAAUUCCUGAGGAGUAGUAGAAGAGCAUGUACUGGAAAAUCUACAGCCUCAUAAAUGUAUAAAAAAGGUGGCGAUCCGGAACUAUGGUGGUGCAAGAUUUCCCCUUUGGAUAGGAGAUCCUUUGUUCUCCAGGAUAGAGCUCCUAAAAUUGGAGAACUGUGACAAUUGUGUAUCUUUGCCAUCGCUUGGCCUAUUGAGUUCACUUAGACGGCUUGCUGUUAAAGGGCUGAAUAAACUAAAAAGCAUAGGGUCUGAGGUUUAUGGGGAGGGUUUCUCAAUGCCUUUUCCAUCAUUGGAGAUUCUAAGUUUCGAGAAUUUGCCAGAAUGGGAGCAUUGGGACACCGAUGUCAAAGGAAAUGUGCUUGUUGAAAUAUUUCCUCGUCUCCAUCAACUUUCCAUUGUGGAAUGUCCCAAACUCUCGGGAGAACUGCCUGAGCUCCUGCCCUCCUUGGAGACACUUUUUGUUAGUAAAUGUGAAAAGUUGGUAGUUCCAUUGUCUUGCUAUCCGAUGCUCUGCAGAUUAGAAGUUGAUGAGUGCAAGGAACUAGCAUGCGGGACUCCAAUUGAUUUUAAGUUGAUAACGUCUGUGACUAUUUCAAAUAGUUCCUUAGACAUGAAUGGAUGCAAGGGGAUGCUAUACGAUGGUCCAGCUGGCUCUUCACUACCAAAGCCUAUGAUUACUACAAAUGUUUCGGAGUUUGGAAAAUUAUUGAAGCCUGGAUUUCAGAUAUUAGAAACUUUGGUAAUUGCCAAUUCUGAACAGCUCAAGUCAUGGAGGCAGAAUGGGGAUUUUCCGGAAAAAUACACGGCCCCUGAACAUAGGUUUAAGAAACCAGUACGAGGGCUGAAUAUGCUCGCUUCCCCUGAAGAGGUAACAAUUGAAGAAAGUUGCGUACGUCUUGUUUUGUUUCCAGAGAUCAAUUUCUUUCCCAGAAAUCUGCGCUCUCUUCUAAUUAACAACAACACUGCUUUCAAAUCCUUACCCGAGGAAAUGAUGGAAAACAAUUCACAACUCGAAAGGUUGUAUAUCAGAGAUUGCGACUCUCUAACAUUCAUCGCAAGACGGAGGCUACCAGCAUCUCUUAAAAGGCUUGAGAUAGAAAAUUGUGAGAAAUUGCAACGUCUGUUCGAUGAUGAAGAGGAUGCUUCUUCUUCUUCACCUUCACCCUCGUCUUCCCCAGUGAUGCUGCAACACCUGAGUAUAGAGAACUGCCCAGAGCUCACCAGUUUAUCAUCGGGUGUCCAAUUCCUUGAGGCGCUUGAAGACCUCGACAUACAGGGUUGUCCAAAGCUGGAGUCAUUACCGGAUGGCCUGCCCAAUCUUAAAUGUUUACAGAGCAUUUAUAUACGGGGAUGUCCAAGUCUUGUUUCCUUCCCAGAAAGAGGGCUUCCCAACACGAUUUCAAGGGUUGACAUUUGCAGUUGUGACAAGCUCAAAGCCUUGCCCAAUGAUUUGCACAAACUCAACUCUCUUCGAGAUUUAAGAAUACGGCUGUGUCGAAAUCUUGUAUCGUUUCCAGAAGAAGGUUUUCCUACCAAUCUAACAUCACUUACAAUUGGAAAUUUCAAAAUGUAUAAGACACUCGUCCAGUGGGGGUUGCACGGGCUUACCUCUCUUAAACGCCUCUCGAUCAGUGGAUGUCAUGAAGCAGAGUGUUUUCCAGACGAGGAGAUAGGAAUGACGCUGCCCACCUCUCUCACUCAACUGCUCCUUUAGGGAUUCGAAAAACUGAUAUCUCUGUCUUCGACGGGUUUUCAAAGCCUCAACUCUCUUCAAUACUUAUUGAUCUGGGGUUGCCCAAAUCUCACAUCAUUCCCAGAGGCGGGUCUUCCAUCCUCACUUUUGGAUUUAGGCAUUUACAAUUGUCCAAAGCUUAAAAGAGCGUGCAAAAGAGAUCAAGGAAAAGAGUGGCCCAAAAUUGCUCACAUCCCUCGCAUUGAGAUAGACAGAAAAUUCAUAUACGAUCCAGAAUCAGAGGAGUAGAUUCUAUUACAAAGGUCAGUUGAUUUCUAUUAUCCUCUAUAACAAGCUCCUCUUAAUUUUUUUUUUCUAAGUAAUAAUUUUGCAGUUCUGUAUAAUUAUUAAUCGUCUGCUCUUAAUUGAAAAUGUCACUCACUUGAUUCCGUUUUCACUAGUCAAAUUGUAUGUUGAGGCUAUUUGCUUUUUAAUUAUAACACUUAUCUUAAAAUUUAAUACCAAAUUUUUUUGAUUCACUUCAAUUAGCAUUUUGUUUUCCCCAAAUUAGGCAAGCCGAGAGCUUCAUUAACUAGAGUUUUUUAUUUUUCGGACCUUGCAUCUGAAAGGUUCAGUGUAUUUUUUUUUUUUUCAAAUUUAUUGUUCAGAUCUCAGACGAGUAUACGGUUUAGAUUACAAAACACCUAUGAUUAAUUUCUUUUUUUUUUUUUUAAUUUCAGGGAGAAGAAGUGGUCAGUUUCAAUCCGGAAUUGGAAUAUGGCAAUUUGGUUCAAGCACACACACCUGGUCACUUGGUCAGUGAACCUGAACUUUACGCAGUUUUUUCAACUCAGUGAUUUUUGGAACGCAUAUUGGUGUAAGGAAAUCAAUAGAAAUUUAUGCAUAGUCAAAUUCUGAUAUUUGCUAUAAUAUUAUACAUUCUAAAGUUUCUCCAGUUUGUUCUCAGAUUACCAUCAUUUUUUGCCUUCACCAAAAAAAAAUCGAGUGGCUUUCCAGUGGAUAUUUAAUCGGAGGUAUGACUGGAUUUUUUUCACUUCUGUAAAUCUUGCAUUUUAAACUGGCAAAUUUAACUUUAAUUUUAAUACGACUUGUUUGAGGGAAAUACUCCGACGAGACCAGACGUGAUGAGCAGAUGUUUGGUGGCAGAAGUCUGCGAGCAGGUGUGUCCUGUAAGAGCCAGGUAGCAGGGAAACAGGGGCAGAAAUAUCCUGCUCAUCCACGAGCAUGUCAUCCGCGAGGCCAAUUUCCUGUAAGAAACAUAAAGCCAUUCCUGCUGUAUUCUUGCUAAGGGUUGAUUCGAGGAGACCCGGUCAACGACAGUUGGCGAGGCAUGCUCUCCAGCCCGAGAAUCUAGGCACGAAGGCCACGCAACCACCCACGACUACGGAAAUGGGGAAUCCACGUUCGAGAGGUGGGAGGAUAACAGACGUAGACUGCGGAAAACUGGGAUUCAGAGGAAGCCUAUAAAAAGGUAGCCAACGAAGGUAAAAGGGUUAGCAAUUUUGAUUCUAAAAGAGAGAAAACAACCUAACAACCAUAAGAUUUUUGGCAAGCGUUCCCCGAACCUUCAUAUCUGACUUGAGCGUCGGAGGGUUUGCGCCGGGAAAACAACCGGCGUACUCUGACCUGUCUGUGUGCGCAGGAACCUCUGGAGAAGAAGCUUUACGAGGAGAGAUCCUGGUCGUGGUGAAGUUGAUCGAGCAGAGACCCUGGUCGUAGAACGAGGAGAACCAGAAUCUCGCAUCAACACGACUUUGUUGGUGCCUUGUGUUCCAGAAACUAGAAUGAUGUGUAGUUUUCAGAUUAAGGGGCUUGUAAAUUCUCUAGUAAGAAUCCAAUAAUUUGCUUUUGCACAUUCAUUUUAUUUGUGGAUCCUUGCAUCUGAAUUUGAUCAAUCCAAAAGGAAUUGCUUUUAGACAGAAGAAGAAUUGCAGUACCUAGCCUACGACAUAGUAAAUGGACCUGCAAACCUGUAACUAUUAGUUUGAGGUAAAAAAUUCAUGACCCUCACAUGUUAACUUCUUCUAGUUACUUUCAUCAAAAACACAUUUAAGAAAUUUGCAAUUUUUUGUUAGUUUUGUAUACCGAUGUUGUUUUCUGUUUUAGCAUUUGUAUAAUCUACUGUAUUAUAUUUUGGCGGUUGCAGUAUCUGAGGUAUCUUUUGCAUUUAACUUGCUUUAUUUGUUUUGCUUGUGACUUAAGAACACCAAUAUUUGCCAGAGAUUUAGAGAAGCAUAUCAAGAUGCUUGGCAAACUUGACAAACUUCAAGAUCCUUCAUUCUUCACGACCCAAAACUUGUGAGUACACUUAUGCCCGCAAUUAUUGUGAAACGCUUGCAAUUUUGAUGCAGCGAAAUGGUUUGUUGAUGCAAAGGUUUAAACUUUUAAGAUUUACACUGCAGGGUAGUUGGAUGCUGUAUAGUCGAACGGCCACCAACAUCAAGAACUAUAACUCCAAGACCGGGUUUGCAUUAAUUCAAUCAGCUGAAAUAAUGAUGCAAAUGACACUAUCAGCUGGACUUAGAGACCAGUCAGAUCAAUCAUCCUUUUAUCAACAGUUAAUGUCAUGAUGGUGUCUAUCGGAGGAAACAAAGGAUGUGUCGGAAUCAAUAUGAACAGUGAGAAGAAUGAGAGGAGCUUUGAUUAUAAGUAGGCUCAAUGAACUCAUGCUGGUAAGUGGUAAUUAAAGAAAUUUGUGCGCUUAGUAGCAUUCAAUAUUUUCUGUUUGGGAUAUAGUUGAUGAGUUGAUACUCUGAUUAAGAAGCCUGAUUAUAGUAGCUGACUUUUUUUUUGUGGUUUGCUGUUGUUUAUUCUUUCGAUUAAUUUCAACAUUAGGUUGAUCUGUUGAAGAACAAACUUGGGUUUGAUUAUGCUUUAACUACAAGGAAGAGCCAGACUUGGAUGCAGGCGUUCAGCUUUUAAUGGGUAAGAACAAAUGUAUGCUUUAACCAUGUUUCUCACUUAUUACAAUGCACACAUUGAAGGCAUCUGAGCUGAUCCUGAAAAUGUGAUGGAAAUACUUCUCUGUUUACAUAAAACAGACAAAUAGAGAUCUCUGAUCAUGCCUGAGAAUUCGUUGCAUUUAAAAUUUCUACCAUUGCCAAAAAUAGAAUAAACUACGGAUACAUUAGCUUAAGACUCAAUUUUGAGAAGGAAGUUUGCACAUGCAGCCUAAAAAAUCACGUCCGUGUUGUAUACUUGUAUGUUUCUUUGGGAAAUGAAAGAUUCUGUGUUCUUUUAUUUCAAGUUUGCUGAAAUCACAUUUGUUUUCUUAGAUGCUUUUGGGAAGGUAACAACAUCAAUUUCAUAAAUGCUGGGGUAAGAUGCAUCACGCAGUGCUACUCAACAUGAGAAUUCCCGGCCGCAUUACCUGUAUGUUGAGUGAUCGCACAGUACAACCUUUAGAAGCUUGUAAGGAGUAGACAACUAGAUGCGAAUAGUUUCAAUAUGGAUUCGCAUCAAAUGAUCUCUUGCCAGUGAUUACUAUAACCUCUAUCCCAAAAUUCUUGGAACUGGUCAUACCAAUAAUGAAGUAUUGUGUACGUUGAAGACGUAGCUCAAGGCCUUGCGAAAGCUCCGUCAGCCUUUGUAUUGGAAAACAGUUGGUUGUAGUUGCUUCUGAAUGAUAUUAUUAAUAGAUACUGUAAAAAUGAAGUGUGCCACUCAUUUUCAGAGCCCUGUUAAGAUGUGUUGGUAAUGUGUUUGAAGGUUGUUUGAUUUGUGUUGUAUUCAGCUAUAAAUCAAAGAUUCAGAACAUGGUUAUGUUACUGGUUUCCAAAUAAAAAAAUUGCCUUGUGAUGUUAGUGUUCAUUGUUUUCACAGGAGAUCAGGUUCCCUGUUGAUGAAUCAAGAAGGCAAACGCAUCCAUGCCUUAAGUUCAAAUGUGUCUCUUCUAUUUUCUAUUACUGACUCCUUUAUUUUGAUUUCUUCAUUGUAAUGGAAUUGGUUUUCAUUCCAAAUUAGUCAAAACCUCCUAGAGUCAUUAAGUUCUGUUAGCAUUUGAAGAUAGAACUAGAACUAAAUGAUUGACUGGAUUAAAUUCCGAUAAAGAAUUAAGUUAUGUAUUUAGAGAUAUUUUGUUUUUUUUUUCAUUUGUUCAAUUUGGUUAGUGGUGAUUUCUUAAAGACUCAAUCCAUGUGCGUUUAUGCAUUUUUCUUUUGCCUUAAUUUCUGUUUCUUGGGGAGUUUAUACAGAUUCUUAUUUUAUGCUUCACAUGCCACAUGAAAGAUCGAAGCAUUUUGUGUGAUUAGAACUGACUUGCAUCACAGUAACUUUAAACCACUGCCACAUUUUUAUAAUAACAGUCUGAGAUCUCCCUGAAGGAUUCAAAGCAUUUUAUUUUAUAUUAACCUCCUUUAAGUGGGUUUCGACACUACCACAAGUUCUUUAAAUACUAAAACGAUUUUGAGUCUUUUGUAUCAUCUGAUUGAAAUACCUGAAAGCACUCGUGGCUGCAAAAAUAUAUCGAUUUUGAGUAUGGCGUGCAUGUAAAUUAUAUCGAUUUUUUCUAUAUGACAAGUAAGACUCUCUUUUACAAUGGCACGGAUGCGUCAUUGAGUAAUCAUGAUUCUUGCUGGUAGUGCUUUGUUGUAUCAAUCUGCUAGCUAUUCAGCUUUCUUUCUUUCUUUCUUCUUUUUUUUUUUUUUUUUUUGUUUUCAAAUAGCUUGUGGUUGUAGAAAUAUUUCAAUUAAACUAUACUUAAGUACUUAUUUAGUAUAACUUCUUUACUAGCCAAAAUAAUUUUUUUUUGGUUUUUUAUAAUUUAAUUAUACUUUAACUAGAGUUUUUGGGAUUAAACAAGUGAUAAUUUCUCUCUAUUAAGAAAAACUCAAAAUUUUUUAAUUACUAGAAUGCGUCUAAAUUAAAUUACAAUUAUAGACACUAAAAUAUAGUAAAUUUUUUUUUUUACUCUUUAAAACUGUCUUUACAUUCGAUAUCAUAUUUUUUUCUUAAAAUCUAAAUUGAUAUUUUUAUUUUAUUUUUGAUUAAUCUUAGAACACAUAUAAAGUGAUUCAUAUUGAUUUUAUACUAACAAACUAUCAUAGCACAUUCGAAAAUAAUUAACUCGUUCUUAUUUGCAUAGUGAAAAAGGCAAAUAGCUCACCCAAAUGUUAAGGAACUGGAGAGCUGCUGCUGGAGACGAAAGGAUGUGAAAAGCAUGGUAAAGAAAAAUUGCAUAAUUCUCACUUAGAAGAGGAAGAAAAAAAAAAUACAAUUAGAAUGAGAGGUAGCCAGUAGCCAGUAGCCGCCACCACCACCAGUCAAACUAUUUCGACACACUAAUACUGUAAUACAUAUCAAAAUGCAAUAUCGGUCCUAACAAAAUGAAAAUAAAAAUUCAUUACGAAUAUGUGUUAAAGAUAUCCCAAGUAUUGAUGUGAUUGAAAUAUUUGAGAUUGAAGUAGAAAUAAGACUCAAAAUCAAUUGAGAGGAAUAAAUGAGAAACUCUAAUACUAAUAAAAUAUAUUCACAAAUCCUAAUGCUAAUUAAAAUCACGGAUUAAAAAAAAUAAUAUGAAUGAAUUACAGGCGCAACUGUUUCAUUAAAAAAUUAAUAAAAUCGUGUAUUAAUAUUUUGUACACAUACAUUUUUCCAUAUAUAACUUUUGGUAAUUUAGUUUUCCACUUAUCAUUUUUACUCCAAAAAAAUAAUUGAGAAUAUUAUUUAUGUUUUGGUGCAAAAUAUUUAAACAACAUAAAAAUUUUCAGUUUAAUAAAUCUAAACAAUUCUCAAGUUAUAAAUGAAUUUAAUGGGUUUAAUUAGUAAAAAUACUAUUAUUUUAUAAAUUGGGUUUAGUAAUGGUAUAUUGGGUAUUUAAAUGGGUUUGUUGAGUAAAUUUUAAAAUUUUAAAGUUCAAGGGUAGGUUUAUUUAGUAAAUGGGUUAAUGCAGCAAUUUUCAAACUAAAUUUUUGGAAAAAGAGGCUAUUGAGUUUUUUUUAAGAAAAAGAAUUAAAAUGUUGAGAAUACCUUUAUUUAAUUUUAUAAUCUAAUUUUAAAAAAUUUACCCAAUAAAUUUUAUAAUUUUUUAUAAAAAUUAUCAUUAACAUCCAAACAGCUGAAGAUUAAAAAAAAAAAAAGAAGGGAACUGUACUAGCAAAAGUUAGAUUAACAAUAAAUUUAGUCCAAAGAAUAAAGUUAUAGCUAAAAAGUGCUCCUAUCCUAUUUUUCUCUAUUUUAACAAUAAUCUUCCAAUCCAUUUUACAAUGGACUUAACAAAUGGGCUCAAUCUCUAAACUUCAUUUUCUUUUGCUAACCCAUGGCCAUUAGCCAGAAAGCCUAAAACAAUUUUAGGAUCACAUGUGUAAAUGGAACCCCAAGAUUGAUCAAGAAUUAACAAGACAAGAUGAAGAGAUGAUCUUGUAACUAAGAAUGAAGAAAUUGAAUCAAGACAGUACUCUAGUAAAACCCAGAAAACAGAGCUUGAAGAAUCACGCACAAAGCAGUAAAUUUGUAAAACCAGAAUUGGAGCUUCACUUCUCAAGAUAGACGAAACAGGAUACAAUCUAGCUUUGGUCAACUUCGUUUGGCCACGUCAUAAAGUCUUCCCCCACAGUCUUUCCCGCCAAAACAGAAAAGCUUUAAAAGCCAUUUACCCUCCUGAGUUACUUGCUCCUAUUACAUCAAGGCCCUGUAAGUCUAUAUUUAUUAUUACAAAAGCACCCUUAAACCGAGAUUUGAGAUAUUUUUUCAAAGAUCGAAGCGCAUGAUUUCACGGCUAUGUUGCAUAGUGAAUUUUAGUGCUUUACAGUUAAGGGAUAGUUUAAAUUCAUUACAAAGCAUUCGCAAAGAAAUUGUUUUUAAAUGAAACUCCUCGUCUUGACCAGAUUAUUUAUUAUUAUUAAAAAAAAAAUGUUCAAAACUUAGCCAAAGUGAUAAACUCGUAAUUAUUCUACAAAGGGAACAAUUUUGAACGGUGGGAAAUUCCAUAAUUAUGCUUUUCUGUGAAUUAUUUUAAAUAAAAUUAUAAAAAUUAAUAUAAAAUUAUAAUAAUGAUAGAGCCACAAACUCUUGUACAAAUUUAUUUUAUACAAACUCAUGUGGCAUGAUAAGAUUGGUUGAAUUAAAUAUUACUUGGCCCACAUGAUUUGUUUUUAUUAUUUUAUAUUUUUAUUCAACCAAUAAAUUAAUACCACGUCAGUUUGUACAAAAUAAAUUUAUACAAAAAUUUGUGACUCGAUCAUCACUCAUAAAAUUAAUACCCGGUAAAGACUGUAGAGAGACAAGUGCCCCCAACAGAAUCAAGUGAAUAUGCCCCACAAAGAUCACAUGAUCAUUUCUGUUCUUUUUCUUUUUGAUAAUUUUAUCUGUGGUUUCAACUUUUAUGCUUUAUUGUCGUAUCCCGUUGAGGGCUCCGCUGCACCCAUUACAACUUACCCCUAAAUUGCCUCUUACUAACUAAACCGUUAGAUUUUAUGGAAGCACGUUCAAUGUUGAAUUUUAAUUAUGUCAUCGAAUUUCGUUUAGCUCCUUAAACUCCAUUUUAUUUGUAAUUUCUUCAUAAAAUAUUCAAAGCUUCAUCAAGCUCCUGAUGGACCAUCAUGGCUAGGGGUGCAUUAGAGCCGAACUGAAAUAUGUUAGUUCAGUUCAGUUUGGUCAGUUUAAAUCGAAUGGUUUAGAAUAUAUAAACUGAUCAAUUUUAAUUUUGAAUUGAACCGAACCGAAAAUCAAUUGGUUCACUAUUAGUAUUUUUGUAUAAACAAGAAUGAUUAGUGAUUAUAAUUAAAUUGGACUAAAAAAAAUUCAAACUAAGGUGAAAAAUAUCAAAUCUUAGACAAUAUAAAAAAAAAUAUUAAAUUUUUUUAACCGAAACGAACCGAAUUAUUUUGACUCAGUUUGGUUCAUAAUUUUUUAAACCAAACUGAUUUAUUCCCACCCCCUAAUCGUGGCUCUCUAUCUUUAGUCAUUCACCCUUGAGUUUGAUGCCAAUUGUUGGGUUUCAAAUGAUUAUACACUCAAAUGGAACCCUCAUAACAAAAAACUAACAGAAACAAUAAGAACACGAUGUUAAAAUCUUAAAUCAAUCGCAAAAAAGCACCCAAAACAGAUCGAUUAGGAACAGUUAAGAACAAAAGAUUUGAUGGUUCAAAAUCAUAAUGUGACCUACGUACUUUCAUCCAAGAAUCAUACUAAUUGCUUUACUAGUUGUCAAACUCAAGAUCACAAGAUUGUUUAUCACUCUACAUAAAAAUUUUUUUUAGAAGAAAUACUCCCCAAUUUUUCUCUUAAUAGUUAUGAAUCAACACCCCUAGGAAGCCUGUUGAUUUACUUUUCCUUAUUUCCUAUGAUCGGUUGCUGCAACUUAAUCCUUGCCAAGCUCCAACAUAGUCCAAACACUUUUAACGGUACAGGCAUAGUGCACCUUCAGAAACUUUACAGCUCCUCUUAAAACCUCAGGCAUCGUAAGCACAUUAAGCAGCCGACAACACUCUUCUUCAUUUCUUCAUUGUCAAUUUCCUUCUUGGAACAUUGCUCCAUUGAGAGUCUGCUAGAAUUGCUCCAAUUAUUAUUAUUAUUUAAAAAAAAAAGAAAACCCUGCAAUAAGAGUAUAAGACUAAGCAACGGUCCUUUUUUUUUCCCCAUUCUUGAACCUAAAGUAUUUGAGUAUGCAAAUUAAUAAAUAAAUUCAUUUAUUUUUAUUAAAAUUUUGUAAAAUUAUAAUUUUUAAUAAAAAUAAUUAUUAAAAUUUUGUAAAAUCUAAAUUUAGAAAAAUUCAGUUGGGCACCUCUAUUUGAGAUUUAUUUUUUAUUAAAUUUAGGGAUAUUUUUAUAAUUAUAAUUUUUAAUUUUAAAAGUUUUUAUAAGAUAAAAUAGUCUUUUAAUUUAUUUAGGGGGUAAAAUUGGUGUUUUAUUAAAAUUAUUUAAUUGUGUUAAUGCAAAAGUGGCUAUUUGAUACAAAUGUGAAAAGAAAGGUGGUGCAAAAUAUAUGUUAAAAUUUUAUAUUGGUUGGAUGAACAUAAGCUAAAAUAAAGGUGGUGCAAUGAUAAUUUCCCUAUCCUAAAACUUAAUUGACUUAAUUCUUACGGUGCAAGGAAGAGGUUUCCAAGUUUAAAUCUAAAGGCUUGUAUUUAAUUUGGGGUUGGGAAAGCACUGAGAAAUAAAUGUAACUAAGGAAAAAAAAAAAGUCACGCAGUCCAAAUAAGUAGAUAUAUUUAAUAUGAGGUGGGGAUGGGUGAACUGUAAUUCAGAAAAAAAUAAAAUAAAAUUUUAUAUAAAGUUGAGGGUGUGUUUUAAUGGUUUCUUAUGCUGCGUUUAUUUUUUGGACUAGAGUGAGAAUUCUAAAAAGUGAGAAUCCUAUGAUUAGGUGUGUGGAGUGGGAGUGGGAGUAUGGUAUUUACUUAGACUAAAUAAAAGUAUGGAUUGUCAAUCAGAAUCUCAAUUAUUUGUUACUUUGUCUUGGAUUGAGAGUAAAUUAUUUUAAAUUACAAUUUUAUCCUUAUGUAAAGAAUUAUAAUUUGUAAUUAAAAAAUUAAUAAAAAUAUAUUGGAAAAUAAAAUAAAUAUUUUAUUAUAUUUAUAAAAUAAUAAUAAUUAAUAAAAUUCUUAAUUAUGUAAAUCAUAAUUUUUUAUUAAUUUAAAUUUAAAUUAUGUGAAUAAAAUUAUUAAUAAUAGCAACACAAAUGAAACAUUAUUAUUAAUAAUAUAGUAUAAAAUUAAUAUUUUUUUAGAAUAAAAUAUUUAUUAUUAUUAAAUAAAUAAAUAAUAUUUAUUAAAAUUAAUGUUUAAUAUUAUUAAUUUAAAUAUAAUAUUUAUUUAUUUUUAUUUUAUUUUAUUAAAUUUAAUAAAAUAAAUAUGUUAUAAUUAUUAUUUUUAAUAAAUAUGAUAUUAUUUAUUUUAUUAAAUAUUAUUUAUUUAUUUUAAUUAUGAGGGUAAAAAUGGAAGAGGGGGAGUGGAUUCCCACUCCCACCUCCCCCCAUGGGAGUGGGAAUCCCACUCUCCCCUUAAAAAUGGUAAGUAAAUAUUAGAAUGGGAAGAAUCUACACUCUACACUUUCUAGAAAAUAAACACUACCUUUAUUUAAAUCGAUUUGUUGGAUAUUUAGCUAAAAUGAGAGUAGCUCUCUAAUAAUUAUUGCAUUAUUACAAACAUAUCCAACGGUUAUAAUAGCGCGCUGAAUCAAUGCUUCAGAAGGAUGACAGUCUGAGUGAAAAGGAAAUAAACGCUUUCAAUUGAAUUACUACCACUACACUCCAAUACUCUAUUAUUGUUUGUGUGCUUGCUUGUGGACCUUUUUACUUCUUACUAUCAUUAUUGAAUUCCAUUUCCAAAUUUUCAGCAUACUUUUGCUUUCUUUCAGUAUCUUCAGUUUCUCUUUUGCUUGCUAUCAAUUCAGUUUUCUUCUUGUGAAGAUCGAACGGAACCAUGGUUGCUGUGGGAGAGAUCUUACUCAACGCCUUCUUUCAGGUGUUGUUUGACAGGUUGGCUUCCCGUGAUUUGCUCAGCUUUGUCCGUCAACUUGGAGGCGGGGACGAUUCCGAGCUCAAGAAGUGGGAAAGAAAGCUGAAGAUGAUUCAGGCGGUGCUCAACGAUGCAGAGGAGAAGCAACUGACCGACGAGGCCGUGAAGAUGUGGCUGGACGAUCUCCAAGACUUGGCUUAUGACGCUGAGGACAUUCUUGAGGAGUUUGCUACUCAAGCUUUGGAAAGCAAGUUGAUGGCGAAAAAUCAGGAUCGCAUUGGCCAGGUUCUUAGUUUCAUACCGGCUAGUUUGAAUCCGAAUGCUAUUAUGUCCAAUUAUAGCAUGGGAUCCAAGAUUAAAGAUAUUACUAGCCGGUUGGAGCAACUCUGCCAAGAUAGAAUUGAACUUGGGCUGCAACGGAUUGCUGGAGGGGCAUCAUCAACUACUUCUGCUGCACAUCAGAGGCGAGACAGUUCGAGUGUCCCAACAGAACGUGAAGUAUUUGGAAGAGAAGAAGAUAAGGCCAAAAUUCUUGAUAUGGUAUUGACCGAUACCCCAAGUGAUCGUGCCAACUUUGUUGUAAUACCCAUUGUUGGCAUGGGCGGGAUAGGAAAAACAACUCUUGCCCGGGAGGUCUACAAUGACAAGGCCGUUGAAGAUUCCAAGUUUGAUGUAAAAGCAUGGGUUUGUGUCUCUGAUGUCUUUGAUAUUUUGGGCAUCUCAAAGGCACUUCUCCAGUCAAUCACCUCCGCAGCUAGUGAUCUCAAGACUUUAAAUGAGGUGCAGGUUCAACUGAAAAAAGCAGUUGACGGAAAAAGAUUCUUGCUGGUCUUAGAUGAUGUUUGGAACGAGAACUACAACUUGUGGGAAGACUUAAAAGCUCCGUUCCUGGAUGCUGCACCAAACAGCAAGAUGAUCGUCACCACACGCAAUUCAAGUGUUGCAUCAACAAUGAGACCCAUUGAACAUUUCAAUCUCAAGAGUCUGUUGGAUGACGAUUGCUGGUCCAUUUUUAUAAAGCAUGCAGUUGAAGGUGGAGAUCUUAACGAGGAUCAAAUUUCAGAAUCAUUCCGCAAGAAAGUUGUUGGCAAGUGUGGAGGCUUGCCUCUGGCAGCAAAAACUCUCGGGGGCCUUCUGCGUACGACGAGGCAUGAUGGGUGGGAUGGUAUAUUGGAUAGCAAAAUAUGGGAAUUACAUCAACAUAGCAGCAUUCUCCCUGUGUUAAGAUUGAGUUACCAUCAUCUUCCGUCUCAUUUGAAAAGAUGUUUUGCUUUUUGUGCCAUCUUUCCAAAAGAUUAUGAAUUCACUGAGAAGGAGCUGACUUUCUUAUGGAUGGCUGGAGGUAUUAUUCGACAGUCAAGAAACAAUGAGCAGCUGGAAGAUUUGGGCAGCAAGUGCUUUGGUGAUCUAGUGUCAAGGUCAAUUUUUCAACAAACAGCAAUCUCUGAUAGUUCUAAAUUUGUAAUGCACGACCUUAUCCAUGAUCUUGCUGAAUUGGUCUCUGGAGGAACCAUAUUUAGGUCAGAGGAGGCCAAUACUCUAUCAAGAAGAUUUGAAAGGGUUCGCCAUUCUUCCUAUACCCGUGAUUGGUAUGAUGGUAAAAAUAAGUUCGAGGUUUUCAAUGAAAUUGAACAUCUACGAACAUUCUUGCCGUUAAGAGGUAACUAUUGUACUAGUUACAUAACUCGACCGAUUCUAUCUGAUAUGCUGCCAAAGUUCAAAAGGUUGAGAACGCUAUCUUUACAAGGAUACUGUAUUGGUGAGUUACCAAUUCCAUUUGAAGAUUUGAGACUUUUAAGGUUCCUCAACCUUGCUGACACUGACAUAAGAAGUUUACCUGACUCAACAUGCAAAUUGCUGAACUUGGAAAUUCUGAUAUUAAGAAAUUGUUCCCGUUUGAUAAAGCUUCCGCAGAAAAUGAGGAAUUUGAUCAAUUUAUGCCAUCUGGAUAUAAGAGGUGCGAAGUUGCUGAAGGAGAUGCCAGUCGGAAUGAAAGAGCUGAAGAAGCUUCAAACAUUGUCCAAUUUUAUUGUAGGCAAGGGUGAAUCCGCAUCUGGUUUGGAAGAUUUAAAAAGUUUAAACCUUCUUUGUGAUGAACUUUGCAUUGCUGGAUUAGAGAAUGUGAAUAAUCCACAGAAUGCAAGAGAAGCCGCAUUAUGUGAGAAGCACAAUCUUGAAGCAUUGACUCUAACAUGGUGGCCUCAAUUUGACAGUCCUCGAGGUGUAGUAGUGGAAGAGAAUGUACUUGACGUUUUGCAGCCUCAUAAAUGUAUAAAAAAGGUGGCAAUCAGGAACUAUGGUGGUGCAAGAUUUCCACCUUGGAUAGGAGAUACUUUAUUCUCCAAGAUAGAGCUCCUUGAAUUGAAGAACUGUGACAAUUGUGUGUCUUUGCCAUCGCUUGGCCUAUUGAGUUCACUUAAACACCUUGCUGUUAAAGGGCUGAAGAAACUAAAAAGCAUAGAGUCUGAGGUUUAUGGGGAGGGUUUGUCAAUGCCUUUUCCAUCGUUGGAGGUUCUAAGUUUUGAGAAUUUGCCUGAAUGGGAGUAUUGGGACACCAAUAUCAGAGGAAAUGUGCUCGUUGAAAUGUUUCCUCGUCUCCAUAAACUUUCCAUUGUGGAAUGUCCAAAACUCUCUGGGGAACUGCCUGAGCUCCUGCCCUCCUUGGAGACACUUGUUGUUAUUAAAUGUGAAAAUUUGGUAGUUCCAUUGUCUCGCUAUCCGAUGCUCUGCAGAUUAGAAGUUGAUGAGUGCAAGGAACUAGCGUGCGGGACUCCAAUUGAUUUCAAGUUGAUAAAGUCUGUGACUAUUUCAAAUAGUUCCUUAGACAUGGAUGGAUGCAAGGGGAUGCUAUACGAUGGUCCAGCUAGCUCUUCACUGCCAAAGCCCACGAUUACUACAAAUGUUUUGGAGUUUGGAAAAUUAUUGAAGCCUGGAUUUCAGAUAUUAGAAACGUUGGUAAUUGGCAAUUCUGAACAGCUCAAGUCAUGGAGGCAGCAUGGGGAUUUUCUAGAAGAAUAUAUGGUCGCUCGCCAAAGGUUUAAGAAACCAGUACAAGGGCUGAAUAUGCUCGCUUCCCCUGAAGAGGUAACAAUUGAAGAAAGUUGCGUACGUCUUGUUUUGUUUCCAGAGAUCAAUUUCUUUCCCAGAAAUCUGCGCUCUCUUCUAAUUAACAACAACACUGCUUUCAAAUCCUUACCCGAGGAAAUGAUGGAAAACAAUUCACAACUCGAAAGGUUGUAUAUCAGAGAUUGCGACUCUCUAACAUUCAUCGCAAGACGGAGGCUACCAGCAUCUCUUAAAAGGCUUGAGAUAGAAAAUUGUGAGAAAUUGCAACGUCUGUUCGAUGAUGAAGAGGAUGCUUCUUCUUCUUCUUCUCCUUCAUCCUCGUCUUCCCCAGUGAUGCUGCAACGCCUGAAUAUAAAGAACUGCCCAGAGCUCACCAGUUUAUCAUCGGGUGUCCAAUUCCUUGAGGCGCUUGAAGGCCUCGAGAUAUGGGAUUGUCCAAAGCUGGAGUCAAUACCGGAUGGCCUGCACAAUCUUAAAUGUUUACAGAGCAUUCAUAUAGAUGGAUGUCCAAGUCUUGUUUCCUUGCCCAAUGACAUGCACAAACUGAACUCUCUUCGAGAUUUAAACAUACGGGCGUGUCCAAUAUCGUUUCCAGAAGAAGGUUGUCCUACCAAUCUAACAUCACUUACACUUGGAUAUGUCGAAAUGUAUAAGACACUCGUCCAGUGGGGGUUGCACAGGCUUACCUCUCUUAGAAGCCUCGACAUUUUUGGAUGUGAUGAUGAAGCAGAGUGUUUUCCAGACGAGGAGAUAGGAAUGACGCUGCCCACCUCUCUCACUCAUCUGCACCUUUUUGAUUUCGAAAAAUUGAGAUCUCUGUCUUCGACGGGUUUUCAGAGCCUCACCUCUCUUCAAUCUUUGGAUAUCUGGUUUUGCCCAAAUCUCACAUCAUUCCCAAAGGUGGGCUUUCCAUCCUCACUUGUGGAAUUACGCAUUAGAGAUUGUCCAAAGCUUAAAAAAGCGUGCAAAAGAGAUCAAGGAAAAGAGUGGCCCAAAAUUGCUCACAUCCCUUGCGUUGAGAUAGACGAUAAAUUCAUAUACCAUCCAAAAUCAGAGGUGUAGAGUGUAUUAUUAAGGUCAGUUGAUUUAUGUUAUCCACCAUAACAAGCUCCUCCUUUUUUUUUAAAUAAUAAUUUUGCAGUCACUCGCGUGAUUCCGUUUUCACAAGUCAGAUUGUAUGUUGAGGCUAUUUGCCUUUUAAUCGCAGAUUAAAUUAUAACACUUAUCUUAAAAUUUAAUACCAUAGACAGAUAGACGAUUUUUUAAUCCAAAGUUUUUUUAUUCACUUCAGUUAGCAUUUUUUUUUUCCCCAAAUCAUGCAAGCCGAGAGUUUCAAUCAACAGAAUUUUAUUCACUCAUUGACUUUUCAACUGCUGUGGUUAUUUAUGGGUGAAAGAUAAAUUUCUUAGAUGGUAGAUAUAUCGACAUUUUAGAUUUCAGAUAUUUGUCACCAAUUUCAUUCCUUUUUUUAAAAUUUUUUUUAAGCAAGUUUGACUAAUUUUAACCAGAAUUGGAGUAUAAUAUUUUGGAGCAAGCAUACUUGAAAUUUCUGUCUUCAAUUUUUUUGAUGCUUUUUUAAUUUUGAUCUAGUAAAAAUACAUAGCCUUCACCGGCAGGAUUCUAGUCUUGGCUUUCACCUCUCUAACUCAUCUGUCCCUAUUGGGAUUCCAGAAAUUUAAAUUUCUGUCUUCAAUGGGUUUUCAAAGCCUCACCUCUCUUCGAUUUUUGUGGAUUGGGAAUUGCACAAAUCUCACAUCAUUUCCCGAGGUCGAGGAAAAGAGCGGCCCAAACUAUCAGCGGUGUUGAUUCUCUUAUUAAGGUCAGCUGAUUUCUAUUAUCCACUCUGACAAUCUCCUAUUAGUGUUUUUUUUUUAAAAAAUUUGCAGUUCUGUAUAAUUGAAAUGCCACUCACUUGUUUCCUUCUUCACAGGUCAGAUAGUAUGUUAAAGCUAUUAGUGCUGCCUCAUAGGUUGAUUACUCACAGAUGAAAUCAUAACUUUUAUCUUAAAAUUUAAUAGCAUACACAGAUAGACGAUUUUUAGUCCAAAGUUUUUUUUAUUCACUUCAAUCAAAAUUUUAGAUUGCAGAUUUUUGUCGAGUAUUUUCAUUCCAAUUUUUUCAUUUUUUAUUUUAAACCAGAAUUGGAGUAUAAAAUUUUGGAGCGCGCAUACUCUGAUGCAUGCAAUUAACUGUUUUUAAUCGUUGGAUUUUGAAAUUAAUGAUGGUAAGAUGUGUACUUAUUCUUUCUUCCAACAACCUUGCCUUCUUUCUUCGGUCGCAUAUCUAAUGAAUAUUUCUCUGUUUAGUUAAGGAUGAAUGCUUGGAGUGGGGUACUUGGUAACAUUUCUGCCUUAGAUGAAUCCUUGAAGAAAUGCCCGCAGUUCCUGAGACCAAAUACAGGUCUGAUUCAAAACAGCACCUUUCCCAGAAAAUAUGAUCCAAGGCAAAGUCAUGUUCUGAUAAUGUUUCCUUAAGUACUAAGUUGCAAGGAAACUUGAUUCAUUAACUACAGUUUUUUAUUUUUAGGACCUUGUAUCUGAAAGGUUCAGUGUUUUUUUUUUUCAAAUUUAUUGUUCAGAUCUCAGAGGAGUAUAUGGUUUAGAUUACAAAACACCCAUGAUUAAUUUCAUUUUUUUUUUAAUUUCAGGGAGAAGAAGUGGUCAGUUUCAAUCCGGAAUUGGAAUAUGGCAAUUUGGUUCAAGCAAACACACCUGGUCACUUGGUCAGUGGUCACUUGGUCAGCGAACCUGAACUUUACGCAGUUUUUUCAACUCAGUGAUUUUUGGAACGCAUAUUGGUGUAAGGAAAUCAAAAGAAAUUUAUGCAUUGUCAAAUUCUGAUAUUUGCUAUAUAUUAUACAUUCUAAAGUUUCUCCAGUUUGUUCUCAGAUUACCAUCAUUUUUUGCUUUCACCAACCAAACAAAAACAAAAUGAGUGGCUUUCCGGUGGAUAUUUAAUCGGAGGUAUGACUGGAUUUUUUUCACUUCUGUAAAUCUUGCAUUUUAAACUGGCAAAUUUAACUUUAAUUUUAAUAGGACUUUGUUGGUACCUUGUGUUCCAGAAACUAGAAAGAUGUGUAGUUUUCAGAUAAAGGGGCUUGUAAAUUCUCUAGUAAGAAUCCAAUAAUUUGCUUUUGCACGUUCAUUUUAUUUGUGGAUCCUUGCAUCUGAAUUUGAUCAAUCCAAAAGGAAUUGCUUUUAGACAGAAGAAGAAUAGCAGUACCUAGCCUAUGACAUAGUAUAUGGACCUGCAAACCUGAAACUAUUAGUUUGAGGUAAAAAAUUCAUGACCCUCACAUGUUAACUUCUUCUAGUUACUUUCAUGAAAAACACAUUUAAGAAAUUUGCAAUUUUUUGUUAGUUUCGUAUCCGAUGUUGUUUUCUGUUUUAGCAUUUGUAGAAUCUACUGUAUUAUAUUUUGGCAGUUGCAGUAUCUGAGGUAUGUUUUGCAUUUAACUUGCUUUGUUUGUUUUGCUUGUGACUUAAGAACACCAAUAUUUGCCAGAGAUUUAGAGAAGCAUAUCAAGAUGCUUGGCAAACUUGACAAACUUCAAGAUCCUCCAUUCUUCACAACGCAAAACUUGUGAGUACACCUAUGCCCGCAAUUAUUGUGAAAUGCUUGCAAUUUUGAUGCACUGAAAUGGUUUGUUGAUGCAAAGGUUUAAACUUUUAAGAUUCACCCUGCAGGGUAGUUGGAUGCUGUAUAAUCGAAAAGCGACCAACAUCAAGAAUUAUGACUCCAAGACCGGGUUUGCAUUAAUUCAAUCAGCUGAAAUCAUGAUGCAAAUGACACUAUCAGCUGGACUUAGAGACCAGUCAGAUCAAUCAUCCUUUUAUCAACAGUUAAUGUCAUGAUGGUGGCUAUCGGAGGAAACAAAGGAUGUGUCGGAAUCAAUAUGAACAGUGAGAAGAAUGAGAGGAGCUUUGAUUACAAGUAGGCUCAAUGAACUCAUGCUGGUAAGUGGUAAUUAAAGAAAUUUGUACGCUUAGUAGAGUUUCAAUAUUUUCUGUUUGGGAUAUAGUUGAUAAUUUGAUACUCUGAUUAAGAAGCCUGAUUAUAGUAGCUGACUUUUUUUUUGUGGUUUGCUGUUGUUUAUUCUUUCGAUUAAUUUCAACAUUAGGUUGAUCUGUUGAAGAACAAACUUGGGUUUGAUUAUGCUUUAACUACAAGGAAGAGCCAGGCUUGGAUGCAGGCGUUCAGCUUUUAAUGGGUAAGAACAUAUGUAUGCUUUAACCAUGUUUCUCACUUAUUACAAUGCAUGCAUUGAAGGCAUCUGAGCUGAUCCUGAAAAUGUGAUGGAAAUACUUCUCUGUUUACAUAAAACAGGACAAGAGAUCUCUGAUCAUGCCUGAGAAUUCGUUGCAUUUAAAAUUUCUACCAUUGCCAAAAAUAGAAUAAACUAGGGAUAGAUUAGCUUAAGACUCAAUUUUGAGAAGGAAGUUUGCACAUGCAGCCUAAAAAAUCAUGUCCGUGUUGUAUACUUGUAUGUUUCUUUGGGAAAUGAAAGAUUCUGUGUGUUCUUUUGUUUCAAGUUUGCUGAAAUCACAUUUGUUUUCUUAGAUGCUUUUGGGAAGGUAACAACAUCAAUUUCAUAAAUGCUGGGGUAAGAUGCAUCACGCAGUGCUACUCAACAUGAGAAUUCCCGGCCGCAUUACCUGUAUGUUGAGUGAUCGCACAGUACAACCUUUAGAAGCUUGUAAGGAGUAGACAACUAGAUGCGAAUAGUUUCAAUAUGGAUUCGCAUCAAAUGAUCUCUUGCCAGUGAUUACUAUAACCCCUAUCCCAAAAUUCUUGGCAUUGGUCAUACCAAUAAUGAAGUAUUGUGUACGUUGAAGACAUAGCUCAAGGCCUUGCGAAAGCUCCGUCAGCCUUUGUAUUGGAAAACAGUUGGUUGUAGUUGCUUCUGAGUGAUAUUAUUAAUAGAUACUGUAAAAAUGAACUGUGCCACUCAUUUUCAGAGCCCUGUUAAGAUGUGUUGGUAAUGUGUUUGAAGGUUGUUUGAUUUAUGUUGUAUUCAGCUACAAAUCAAAGAUUCAGAACAUGGUUAUGUUACUGGUUUCCAAAUCAAAAAAAUGCCUUGUGAUGUUAGUGUUCAUUUUUUUCACAGGAGAUCAGGUUCCCUGUUGAUGAAUCAAGAAGGCAAACGCAUCCAUGUCUUAAGUUCAAAUGUGUCUCUUCUAUUUUCUAUUACUGACUCCUUUAUUUUGAUUUCUUCAUUGUAAUGGAAUUGGUUUUUUAUUCCAAAUUAGUCAAAACCUCCUAGAGUCAUUAAGUUCUGUUAGCAUUUGAAGAUAGAACUAGAACUAAAUGAUUGACUGGAUUAAAUUCCGAUAAAGAAUUAAGUUAUAUAUUUAGAGAUAUUAUGUUUUUUUUUUUUUCAUUUGUUCAAUUUGGUUAGUGGUGAUUUCUUAAAGACUCAAUCCAUGUGCGUUUAUGCAUUUUUCUUUUGCCUUAAUUUCUGUUUCUUGGGGAGUUUAUACAGAUUCUUAUUUUAUGCUUCACAUGCCACAUGAAAGAUCGAAGCCUUUUGUGUGAUUAGAACUGACUUGCAUCACAGUAACUUUAAAUCACUGCGACAUUUUUAUAAUAACAGUCUGAGAUCUCCCUGCAGGAUUCAAAGCAUUUUAUUUUAUAUUAAACUCCUUUACGUGGGUUUGGACACUACCACAAGUUCUUUAAAUACUAAAACGAUUUUAAGUCUUUUGUAUCAUCUGAUUUAAAUACAUGAAAGCACUCGUGGCUGCAAAAAUACAGUUGGGGCUAUUUCUAAAGUCUUCAACAGCAUUUUCUUUUUAACCUUUAUCCUCAUGGUUGUUUUUGCAGUUGUUCUUUAAGAAAACAUUUAAAAGGUUCUCUUUAUGGAUUUUUGAAAAUAAUUUUAACAUGAGCAAUUUUCAGAAGCACUUUAGAUGUCUGGCAUUUAGGAAAUUUUAUUUCGGUGUCACAUAAAAUACUUAGGAAGUUAAAUUUAUUUAUUUAUGAGCAUGUGCCAGUGCCCAGUGGCAUCCUCUUCACUUGUGAUAGUCAAAUGUAUUAUACGAUACAAUAUUAGCUUGACUGUAGCACAGAGGAGAAUAGGGUUGGUGUUGGUCUGAACCAGCUUAUGUAACAGCUGCCAAAGGAUAAUUUAAUUGUACUUUGAGUAAAGCUUUUGCGAAUUAAACAAGUGAUAAUUUGUUUUUAUUAAGAAAAACUUAAGGAAUUAGGCUAUUUUAACUGACCAAAUUACACAUUAAAAAUUCAUUUACAAAAAUAGUUUUUAGUUAUUAAAAUAUUCCUAAAUUAAAUUAUAAUUAUGGACACUAAAAUAUUUUUUUUAUAUUUUACUCUUUGAAACUGUCUUUAUAUUCGAUAUUAUAUUUUUUUCUUAAACUCUAAAUUGAUUUUUUUUUUUGAUUAAUUUUAAAACACCUAUAAAGUGAUUCAUAUUGAUUUUAUACUAACAAACUAUUAUAGCACAUUCGAAAAAUAAUUAAAUCGUUCUUAUUUACAUAGUGAAAAUGCAAAUAGCUCGUUCAAAUGUUAAGGAAUUGGAGAGCUGCUGCUGGAGAUGAAAGAUGUGAAUUAAACAUCAGAAAAAAAAUUAUGUUUACUAUCUUGCCAGACCAAGCACCGAAAAGCAUCGUAAAGAAAAAUUAGAUAAUUUAGAAGAUAAAGCACGUGGAAUGGAGGCAGAAAGCAAGUAAUGAUAACUCUUUCGACAAACUAAUAUAUACCAAAAUGCAAUAUCAAAAAUGAAAAUAAAAAUUCAUUACGAAUACGUGUUAAAGAUAUCCCAAGUAUAGAUGUGACUGAAAUAUUUGAGAUUGAAGAAGAAUUAAGACUCAAAAUCAAUUGGGAGGAAUAAAUGAGAAACCUCAAUACCAAAAAAUACACGCGCAAAUCCUAAUACUAAUUGUAAUUGCAGAUAAAUAGCAUAAUACGAAUAAAUUCCAUGGGCAACUAUUUCAUUGAGAAAUUAAUUAAAUCGUGUAUUAAUAUUUUGUAUACAUAUAUUUUUCUAUAUAUGACUUUCGGUAAUUUAAUUUUCCACUUAUCAUUUUUACUCCAAAAAAAUAAUUGAGAAUAUUAUUUAUGUUUUGGUGCAAAAUAUUUGAACAAUAUACAAAUUUUCAGUUUAAUAAAUCUAAACAUCUAUUAAGUUAUAAAUGAAUUUAAUGGGUUUAAUUAAUAAAAUUACUAUUAUUAUAUAAAUUGGAUUUAGUAAUGGUACAUUGGGUGGGUUUGUUGAGUAAAUUUUAAAAUUUUGAAAUUUAAGGAUGGGUUUAUUUAGUAAAUGAGUUAAGGGAGUAGUUUGUUGGGAUUCACAUAACGCCACCAAAUUCAAAUGUAAAAUUUAUGGAAAAAGAAGCUAUUGAGUUAUUCUUUUUAAAAAAAGAAUUAAAAUGUCAAGAAUACCUUUAUUUAAUUUUAUAAUCUUAUUUUAUAGUCAUAUUUUAUUUCCACCUUAACAUAAUUUUAAAAAACCUUAACUAAUAAAUUCUAUAUUUUUUUUAUAAAAGUUAUCAUUAAUAUCCAAACGGCUAAAGAUUUUUUUUUUUAAAAAAAAAGAAACUAUGCUUACAAAAGUUGUAUACAUUAACAAUAAAUUUAGUCCAAAGAAUAAAGUUAUUCCAAACAAGCACUCCUAUUCAUCUUGCUAAUGAAUCAAGAUGACUGAAUCCAUUCUCUAAGCCAAAUCUAUUUUCACUUCUAGGUCAGAAAUUGUCAUUAAAAAAGUGUUUGAUAAAAUAUGCUCUGGGAACACUAAUUCGUCAGAUGGUUACUCCAAGUUUAUGAAAUCAAUGGGGUUUCAUCAUAUUCAUAACAUUCUUCUUUAAUGUCUAUUCUAACAAAGAAAUUACUAGAAAACUUUUACUAGAAAAACUAACCACAAUUCAUCAUUCAUUUAUAUCUUAAGUAAGCGUAAGAUUUUAUCAUUAAAAUCUCAUCAUGAAAAAACUCAUGGGAGAAAAACUAUAAAAAUUGAAGAAAAAAGAGUAUGGCGUGCAUGUAAAUUAUAUCGAUUUUAUCUAUAUGACAAAUAAGACUCUCUUUUACAAUGGCACGGAUGCUUCAUUGAGUAAUCAUGAUUCUUGCUGGUAGUGCUUUGUUGUAUCAAUCUGCUAGCUAUUCAGCUUUCUUUCUUUCUUUCUUCUUUUUAUUUUUUUUGUUUUCAAAUAGCUUGUGGUUGUAGAAAUAUUUCAAUUAAACUAUACUUAAGUACUUAUUUGGUAUAACUUCUUUACUAGCCAAAAGAUUUUUUUUUUGGUUUUUUAUAAUUUAAUUAUACUUUAACUAGAGUUUUUGGGAUUAAACAAGUGAUAAUUUCUCUCUGUUAAGAAAAACUCAAACGGUAGGGUUAUCUCAAUCCACCAAACUAUUUAUUAAAAAUCCACUUAUGAAAAUAAUUUUUAAUUAUUAGAAUGCCUCUAAAUUAAAUUACAAUUAUAGACACUAAAAUAUAGUAAAAAAAAUUUUUUUUUACUCUUUAAAACUGUCUUUACAUUCGAUAUCAUAUCUUUUUCUUAAAAUCUAAAUUGAUUUUUUUUUUAUUAAUCUCAGAACACAUAUGAAGUGAUUCAUAUUGGUUUUAUACUAACAAACUAUCAUAGCACAUUCGAAAAUAAUUAACUCGUUCUUAUUUGCAUAGUGAAAAGGCAAAUAGUUCAUCCAAAUGUUAAAGAAUUGGAGAGCUGCUGCUGGAGAUGAAAGAUGUGAAAAGCAUGGUAAAGAAAAAUUACAUAAUUCUCACUUAGAUGAGGAAGAAAAAAAAAAGAAUACAAUUAGAAUGAGAGGUAGCCAAUAGCCACUAGCCGCCGCCACCGCCACCAGUGAAACUAUUUCACAUAAUAGAAGAUAAAGCACGCGUAAUGGAGGCAAAAAGCAAUUAAUGAUAACUCUUUUCGACACACUAAUACAUAUCAAAAUGCAAUAUCGGUCCUAACAAAAUGAAAAUAAAAAUUCAUUACGAAUAUGCGUUAAACAUAUCCCAAGUAUUGAUGAUGUGAUUGAAAUAUUUGAGAUUGAAGUAUAAAUAAGACUCAAAAUUAAUUGAGAGGAAUAAAUGAGAAACUCUAAUACUAAUAAAAUACAUUCACAAAUCCUAAUGCUAAUUAAAAUCACGGAUUAAAAAAAAUAAUAUGAAUGAAUUACAGGCGCAACUGUUUCAUUAAGAAAUUAAUUAAAUCGUGUAUUAAUAUUUUGUACACAUACAUUUUUCCAUAUAUAACUUUUGGUAAUUUAGUUUUCCACUUAUCAUUUUACUCCAAAAAAAUAAUUGAGAAUAUUAUUUAUGUUUUGGUGCAAAAUAUUUAAACAACGUAUAAAUUUUCAGUUUAAUAAAUCUAAACAUUUCUCAAGUUGUAAAUGAAUUUAAUGGGUUUAGUUAGUAAAAAUGCUAUUAUUAUAUAAAUUGGGUUUAGUAAUGGUAUAUUGGGCAUUUAAAUGGGUUUGUUGAGUAAAUUUUAAAAUUUUAAAAUUUAAGGGUGGGUUUAUUUUAGUAAAUGGGUUAAGGCAGCAAUUUCCCAAACUAAAAUUUUUAGAAAAAGAGGCUAUUUAGUUUUUUUUUUUAAAAAGAAUUAAGAUGUUGAGAAUACCUUUAUUUACUUUUAUAAUCUUAUUUUAAAAAAUUUACCCAAUAAAUUUUAUAAUUUUUUACAAAAAUUAUCAUUAACAUCCAAACAGCUAAAGAUUAAAAAAAAAAAAAAAGAAGGGAACUGUACUAGCAAAAGUUAGAUUAACAAUAAAUUUAGUCCAAAGAAUAAAGUUAUAGCUAAAAAGUGCUCCUAUCCUAUUUUUCUCUAUUUUAACAAUAAUCUUCCAAUCCAUUUUACAAUGGACUUAACAAAUGGGCUCAAUCUCUAAACUUCAUUUUCUUUUGCUAACCCAUGGCCAUUAGCCAGAAAGCCUAAAACAAUUUUAGGAUCACAUGUGUAAAUGGAACUCCAAGAUUGAUCAAGAAUUAACAAGACAAGAUGAAGAGAUGAUCUUGUAACUAAGAAUGAAGAAAUUGAAUCAAGACAGUACUCUAGUAAAACCCAGAAAACAGAGCUUGAAGAAUCACGCACAAAGCAGUAAAUUUGUAAAACCAGAAUUGGAGCUUCACUUCUCAAGAUAGACGAAACAGGAUACAAUCUAGCUUUGGUCAACUUCGUUUGGCCACGUCAUAAAGUCUUCCCCCACAGUCUUUCCCGCCAAAACAGAAAAGCUUUAAAAGCCAUUUACCCUCCUGAGUUACUUGCUCCUAUUACAUCAAGGCCCUGUAAGUCUAUAUUUAUUAUUACAAAAGCACCCUUAAACCGAGAUUUGAGAUAUUUUUUCAAAGAUCGAAGCGCAUGAUUUCACGGCUAUGUUGCAUAGUGAAUUUUAGUGCUUUACAGUUAAGGGAUAGUUUAAAUUCAUUACAAAGCAUUCGCAAAGAAAUUGUUUUUAAAUGAAACUCCUCGUCUUGACCAGAUUAUUUAUUAUUAUUAAAAAAAAAUGUUCAAAACUUAGCCAAAGUGAUAAACUCGUAAUUAUUCUACAAAGGGAACAAUUUUGAACGGUGGGAAAUUCCAUAAUUAUGCUUUUCUGUGAAUUAUUUUAAAUAAAAUUAUAAAAAUUAAUAUAAAAUUAUAAUAAUGAUAGAGCCACAAAUUCUUGUACAAAUUUAUUUUAUACAAACUCAUGUGGCAUGAUAAGAUUGGUUGAAUUAAAUAUUACUUGGCCCACAUGAUUUGUUUUUAUUAUUUUAUAUUUUUAUUCAACCAAUAAAUUAAUACCACGUCAGUUUGUACAAAAUAAAUUUAUACAAAAAUUUGUGACUCGAUCAUCACUCAUAAAAUUAAUACCCGGUAAAGACUGUAGAGAGACAAGUGCCCCCAACAGAAUCAAGUGAAUAUGCCCCACAAAGAUCACAUGAUCAUUUCUGUUCUUUUUCUUUUUGAUAAUUUUAUCUGUGGUUUCAACUUUUAUGCUUUAUUGUCGUAUCCCGUUGAGGGCUCCGCUGCACCCAUUACAACUUACCCCUAAAUUGCCUCUUACUAACUAAACCGUUAGAUUUUAUGGAAGCACGUUCAAUGUUGAAUUUUAAUUAUGUCAUCGAAUUUCGUUUAGCUCCUUAAACUCCAUUUUAUUUGUAAUUUCUUCAUAAAAUAUUCAAAGCUUCAUCAAGCUCCUGAUGGACCAUCAUGGCUAGGGGUGCAUUAGAGCCGAACUGAAAUAUGUUAGUUCAGUUCAGUUUGGUCAGUUUAAAUCGAAUGGUUUAGAAUAUAUAAACUGAUCAAUUUUAAUUUUGAAUUGAACCGAACCGAAAAUCAAUUGGUUCACUAUUAGUAUUUUUGUAUAAACAAGAAUGAUUAGUGAUUAUAAUUAAAUUGGACUAAAAAAAAUUCAAACUAAGGUGAAAAAUAUCAAAUCUUAGACAAUAUAAAAAAAAAUAUUAAAUUUUUUUAACCGAAACGAACCGAAUUAUUUUGACUCAGUUUGGUUCAUAAUUUUUUAAACCAAACUGAUUUAUUCCCACCCCCUAAUCGUGGCUCUCUAUCUUUAGUCAUUCACCCUUGAGUUUGAUGCCAAUUGUUGGGUUUCAAAUGAUUAUACACUCAAAUGGAACCCUCAUAACAAAAAACUAACAGAAACAAUAAGAACACGAUGUUAAAAUCUUAAAUCAAUCGCAACGGUCCUUUUUUUUCCCCAUUCUUGAACCUAAAGUAUUUGAGUAUGCAAAUUAAUAAAUAAAUUCAUUUAUUUUUAUUAAAAUUUUGUAAAAUUAUAAUUUUUAAUAAAAAUAAUUAUUAAAAUUUUGUAAAAUCUAAAUUUAGAAAAAUUCAGUUGGGCACCUCUAUUUGAGAUUUAUUUUUUAUUAAAUUUAGGGAUAUUUUUAUAAUUAUAAUUUUUAAUUUUAAAAGUUUUUAUAAGAUAAAAUAGUCUUUUAAUUUAUUUAGGGGUAAAAUUGAUGUUUUAUUAAAAUUAUUUAAUUGUGUUAAUGCAAAAGUGACUAUUUGAUACAAAUGUGAAAAGAAAGGUGGUGCAAAAUAUAUGUUAAAAUUUUAUAUUGGUUGGAUGAACAUAAGCUAAAAUAAAGGUGGUGCAAUGAUAAUUUCCCUAUCCUAAAACUUAAUUGACUUAAUUCUUAUGGUGCAAGGAAGAGGUUUCCAAGUUUAAAUCUAAAGGCUUGUAUUUAAUUUGGGGUUGGGAAAGCACUGAGAAAUAAAUGUAACUAAGGAAAAAAAAAAAGUCAUGCAGUCCAAAUAAGUAGACAUAUUUAAUAUGAGGUGGGGAUGGGUGAACUGUAAUUCAGAAAAAAUAAAAUAAAAUUUCAUAUAAAGUUGAGGGUGUGUUUUAAUGGUUUCUUAUGCUGCGUUUACUUUUUGGACUAGAGUGAGAAUUCUGAGAAGUGGGAAUCCUGUGAUUAGGUGUGUGGAGUGGGAAUGAGAGUAGGGUAUUUACUUAGACUAAAUAAAAAUAUGGAUUGUCAAUCAGAAUCUCAAUUAUUUGUUACUUUGUCUUGGAUUGAGAGUAAAUUAUUUUAAAUUACAAUUUUAUCCUUAUGUAAAGAAUUAUAAUUUGUAAUUAAAAAAUUAAUAAAAAUAUAUUGGAAAAUAAAAUAAAUAUUUUAUUAUAUUUAUAAAAUAAUAAUAAUUAAUAAAAUUCUUAAUUAUGUAAAUCAUAAUUUUUUAUUAAUUUAAAUUUAAAUUAUGUGAAUAAAAAUUAUUAAUAAUAGCAACACAAAUGAAACAUUAUUAUUGAUAAUAUAGUAUAAAAUUAAUAUUUUUUUAGAAUAAAAUAUUUAUUAUUAUUAAAUAAAUAAAUAAUAUUUAUUAAAAUUAAUGUUUAAUAUUAUUAAUUUAAAUAUAAUAUUUAUUUAUUUUUAUUUUAUUUUAUUAAAUUUAAUAAAAUAAAUAUGUUAUAAUUAUUAUUUUUAAUAAAUAUGACAUUAUUUAUUUUAUUAAAUAUUAUUUAUUUAUUUUAAUUAUGAGGGUAAAAAUAAAAGAGGGGGAGUGGAUUCCCACUCCCACCUCCCCCCAUGGGAGUGGGAAUCCCACUCUCCCCUUAAAAAUGAUAAGUAAACACUAGAAUGGGAAGAAUCCACACUCUACACUUUCUAAAAAAUAAACACUACCUUAAUUUAAAUUGAUUUGUUGGAUAUUUAGCUAAAAUGAGAGUAGCUCUCUAAUAAUUAUUGCAUUAUUACAAACAUAUCCAACGGUUAUAUAUGCUUGCCUGUGGAAAUAAAAGUCCCAAGUUUCUUUGAAAGGUAAGCUAGUGUGAAUGUUUUCAUCCGUGCAACUUACUUGAUGAAUGAAGUUUUCAUCCCUGACCUUGAUGUUUCUGGUGGCUACAAUCAUUUCAGCUGAUCUAUUCCAUUUUGUUAAGGUGAGAAUUUAGAGUGGCUUUAACUGUUAGCAAAUAGCCUAAUGUAAGACUUGAUCAACUUCCUGCCCUGUUGUAUGCUUAUGAAUUUUGAUAGAGUUAUGAGUUUGCAGAAGCUACUGUAUUAUAUGUUGUUAGAGGCUGUAAAAAUGAGGCAGAUCAAACACACAUUUAAAUUUCAAUGACAAUUUACUAGAAGUAAAUUUCCUAUGACCCUCCAGGUGACUAAUCAAUGAGAACUUGACAAUAACAAAAGAAAGUGUAUGAGCUUUGCAGGCGGGCACGCCAAUCUUGACUGCAUGGCACCAUCCGCCAUUUGCAAGUGAAUAUCAUUAUUGUUUAAUCAACAUGGUGGAGUCCACUGGGACCACACCACAUGGUCAGUCUUAUCUCUAUUCCUCAAUUUUCAGUAUUCCAUACAUCAAAACAAUUUCAGUUUUGUUAUCAAUUAUAAUUUCAUUGUUGGAGACGAUUCUGAUUCCUUUCUUUCUGACAAAACGGAACCAUGGUUGCUGUGGGAGAGAUCUUACUCAACGCCUUCUUUCAGGUGUUGUUUGACAGGUUGGCUUCCCGUGAUUUGCUCAGCUUUGUCCGUCAACUUGGAGGCGGGGUCGAUUCCGAGCUCAAGAAGUGGGAAAGAAAGCUGAAGAUGAUUCAGGCGGUGCUCAACGAUGCAGAGGAGAAGCAACAGACUGACGAGGCUGUGAAGAUGUGGCUGGACGAUCUCCAAGACUUGGCUUAUGACACUGAGGACAUUCUUGAUGAGUUUGCUACUCAAGCCUUGGAAAGCAAGUUGAUGGCGCAAAAUCACGAUAGUUCUGGCCAGGUUCUCAGUUUCAUCCCGGCUGGUUUGAAUCCGAAUGCUAUUAUGUUCAAUUAUAGCAUGGGGUCCAAGAUUAAAGAUAUCACUAGCCGGCUGGAGCAACUCUGCCAAGAAAGAAUUGAACUUGGACUGCAACGGAUUACCGGAGAGGCAUCAUCAACUGCUGCUGCUGCUGCACACCAGAGGCCACCCAGUUCGAGUGUCCCAACAGAACGUGAAGUAUUUGGAAGAGAAGAAGAUAAGGCCAAAAUUCUUGAUAUGGUAUUGGCCGAUACCCCAAGUGAUCAUGCAAACUUUGUUGUAAUACCCAUUGUUGGCAUGGGCGGGAUAGGAAAAACAACUCUUGCCCGGGAAGUCUACAAUGACAAGGCCGUUGAAGAUUCCAAGUUUGAUGUAAAAGCAUGGGUUUGCGUAUCUGACGUCUUUGAUGUUUUGGGCAUCUCAAAGGCACUUCUCGAGUCAAUCACCCGCAGGCCUUGUCUUCUAAACAGUUUAAAUGACGUGCAGGUUGAGCUGAAAGCAGCUGUGGAUAAAAAAAGGUUCCUGCUGGUCUUAGAUGAUGUUUGGAACGAGGACUACAGCUUAUGGGUAGACUUAAAAGCUCCGUUACUGGUUGCUGCACCAAACAGCAAGAUGAUCGUCACCACACGCAAUUCAAGUGUUGCAUCAACAAUGAGACCCAUCGAUCGUCACCACACGCAAUUCAAGUAUUACGAUCUCAAGAGUCUGUUAGAUGAUGAUUGCUGGUCCAUUUUCAUAAACCAUGCAUUUGAAUCUACAGACCUUAGCGCACAUCGAAUUUCAGAAUCAUUCCGCGAGAAAGUUGUUGGCAAGUGUGGGGGCUUGCCUCUAGCAGCAAAAACACUCGGGGGCCUUCUUCGUACUAAAACGCAUGCUGAGUGGGACGGUAUAUUGGAUAGCAAAAUAUGGGAUUUACCUCGGCAAAGCAGCAUUCUCCCCGUGUUAAGAUUGAGUUACCAUCAUCUUCCUUCUCAUUUGAAAAGAUGUUUUGCUUUUUGUGCCAUCUUUCCAAAAGAUUAUGCAUUCACUGAGAGGGAGCUGACUUUCUUAUGGAUGGCUGGAGGUAUUAUUCGACAGUCAAGAAACAAUGAGCAGCUGGAAGAUUUGGGCAGCAAGUGCUUUGGUGAUCUAGUGUCGAGGUCAAUUUUUCAACAAACAGCAAUCUCUGAUAGUUCUAAAUUUGUAAUGCACGACCUUAUCCAUGAUCUUGCUCAAUUGGUCUCUGGAGAAACCAUAUUUAGGUUAGAGGAGGCCAAUACUCUGUCAAGAAGAUUUGAAAGGGUUCGCCAUUCCUCCUAUGCCCGUGAUUGGUGUGAUGGUAGAAAUAAGUUGGAGGUUUUCAAUGAAAUUGAACAUCUACGAACAUUCUUGCCAUUUUGCAUAAGAGGUGGCGUUACUUCUGGUUGGAUAACUAGCACGGUUCACUACGAUUUGUUGCCGAAGUUCAAAAGGUUGAGGAUGCUGUCUUUAGAAGGAUACCAUAUUGGUGAGUUACCAAUUCCAUUUGAAGAUUUGAGACUUUUAAGGUUCCUCAACCUUGCUGACACUGACAUAAGAAGUUUACCUGAGUCAACAUGCAAAUUGUUGAACUUGGAAAUUCUGAUAUUAAGAAAUUGUUCCCGUUUGACAAAGCUUCCCCAGAAAAUGAGGAAUUUGAUCAAUUUACGUCAUCUGGAUAUAAGAGGUGCAAAGCAGCUGAAGGAGAUGCCAUUUGGAAUGAAAGAGUUGAAGAAGCUUCAAACGUUGUCCAAUUUUAUUGUAGGCAAGGGUGAAUCUGCAUCUGGUUUGGAAGAUUUAAAAAGUUUAGACCUUCUAUGUGAUGAACUCUGCAUUGCUGGAUUAGAGAAUGUGAAUAGUCCACAGAAUGCAAGAGAAGCCACAUUAUGUGAGAAGCACAAUCUUGAAGCAUUGACCCUAGAAUGGGGGUCUCAAUCUGACAGUCCUCGGGAUGCAGUACUAGAAGAGAAGGUACUUGACACUCUACAGCCUCAUGAACGUAUAAAAGAGCUGGCAAUCAGGAACUAUGGUGGUGCAAGAUUUCCACCUUGGAUCAGAGAUCCUUCGUUUCCCGAGAUGAAGGUCCUUAAAUUGGAGAACUGUGACGAUUGUGAAUAUCUGCCAUCACUUGGCCUGUUGAGUUCACUUAAGCACCUUGCUGUUAAAGGGCUGAAGAAACUAAAAAGCAUAGGGUCUGAGGUUUAUGGGGAGGGUUUGUCAAUGCCUUUUCCAUCAUUGGAGGUUCUAAGUUUUGAGAAUUUGCCUGAAUGGGAGUAUUGGGACACCAAUAUCAGAGGAAAUGUGCUCGUUGAAAUGUUUCCUCGUCUCCAUAAACUUUCCAUUGUGGAAUGUCCCAAACUCUCUGGGGAACUGCCUGAGCUCCUGCCCUCCUUGGAGACACUUGUUGUUAGUAAAUGUGAAAAGUUGGUAGUUCCAUUGUCUCGCUAUCCGAUGCUCUGCAGAUUAGAAGUUGAUGAGUGCAAGGAACUAGCAUGCGGGACUCCAAUUGAUUUUAAGUUGAUAGAGUCUGUGACUAUUUCAAAUAGUUCCUUAGACAUGAAUGGAUGCAAGGGGAUGCUAUACGAUGGUCCAGCUGGCUCUUCACUGCCAAAGCCUAUGAUUACUACAAAUGUUUCGGAGUUUGGAAAAUUAUUGAAGCCUGGAUGUCAAAUAUUAGAAACUUUAGUAAUUGGCAAUUCUGGACGGCUCAAGUCAUGGAGGCAGCAUGGGGAUUUUCUAGAAGAAUAUAUGGUCGCUCACCAAAGGUUUAAGAAACCAGUACAAGGGCUAAAUAUGCUCGCUUCCCCUGAAGAGGUAACAAUUGAAGAAAGUUGUGUGAGUUUUGUUUUGUUUCCAGAGAUCAAUUUCUUUCCCAGAAAUCUGCGCUCUCUUCUAAUUUGCAACAGCACUGCUUUGAAAUCCUUACCCGAGGAAAUGAUGGAAAACAAUUCACAACUGGAAAGGUUGUAUAUCAGAGAUUGCGACUCUCUAACAUUCAUCGCAAGACAGAGGCUACCAGCAUCUGUUAAAAGGCUUGAGAUAGAAAAUUGUGAGAAAUUGCAACGUCUGUUCGAUGAUGAAGAGGAUGCUUCUUCUUCUUCUUCUUCUCCUUCAUCCUCGUCUUCCCCAGUGAUGCUGCAACACCUGAUAAUAGGGAAAUGCCCAAAGCUCACCAGUUUAUUAUCGGGUGUCCAAUUCCUUGAGGCGCUUGAAUUCCUCAAGAUAGAGCAUUGUCCAAAGCUGGAGUCAAUACCGGAUGGCCUGCCCAAUCUUAAAUGUUUACAGAGCAUUUAUUUACUCAAUUGUCCAAGUCUUGUUUCCUUCCCAGAAAGAGGGCUUCCCCACACCAUUUCAUUUGUUUGCAUUUGCGGAUGUGACAAGCUUGAAGCCCUGCCCAAUGACAUGCACAAACUCAACUCUCUUCGACAUUUAAGCAUACAGCUCUGUCCAAAUCUUGUAUCGUUUCCAGAAGAAGGUUUUCCUACCAAUCUAACAUCACUUACAAUUGGAGAUUUCAAAAUGUAUAAGAUACUCGUCCAGUGGGGGUUGCACAGGUUUACCUCUCUUAGACGCCUCUAUAUCGUUGAUUGUGAUGACGAAGCAGAGUAUUUUCCAGACGAGGAUAUAGGAAUGACGCUGCCCACCUCUCUCACUCAACUGGAACUUUCGGGAUUCAAAAAAUUGAUAUCUCUGUCUUCGACGGGUUUUCAGAGCCUCACCUCUCUUCAAAGAUUGCGGAUCUGGGAUUGCCCAAAUCUCACAUCAUUUCCAGAGGUGGGCCUUCCAUCCUCACUUUUGGAAUUACACAUUUACAAAUGUCCAAAGCUUAAAAAAGCGUGCAAAAGAGAUCAAGGAAAAGAGUGGCCCAAAAUUGCUGACAUCCCUUGCGUUGAGAUAGACAAUAAAUUCAUAUACGAUCCAGAAUAAGAGGAGUAGAUUCUACUAUUAAGGUCAGUUGAUUUGUAUUAUCCGCUAUAACAAGCUCCUCCUUUUUUUUUUUUAAAUAAUAAUUUUGCAGUCACUCACGUGAUUCCGUUUUCACAAGUCAGAUUGUAUGUUGAGGCUAUUUGCCUUUUAGUCGCAGAUUAAAUUAUAACACUUAUCUUAAAAUUUAAUACCAUAGACAGAUAGACGAUUUUUUAAUCCAAAGUUUUUUUUAUUCACUUCAGUUAGCAUUUUUUUUUUUCCCCAAAUCAUGCAAGCCGAGAGUUUCAAUCAAGAAUUGGAGCAUGGGAAUGGAAUUUUUGUGAAAACAUAAUGGAUGAACGAACAUUUCAUCUGUGAUCUCAAAGUCAACAGAAUUUUAUUCACUCAAUGACUUUUCAACUGCUGUGGUUAUUUAUGGGUGAAAGAAAGAUAAGGGCAAUUACAAAAAAUUUGCAAAAUUUGUCAAUUUCUUAGAUGGUAGAUAUAUCGACAUUUUAGAUUUCAGAUAUUUGUCACCAAUUUCAUUCCUUUUUUUUUAUUUUUUCAAGCAAGUUUGACUAAUUUUAACCAGAAUUGGAGUAUAAUAUUUUGGAGCAAGCAUACUUGAAAUUUCUGUCUUCAAUAUUUUGAUGCUUUUUUAAUUUUGGAUCUAGUAAAAAUACAUAGCCUUCACCGGCAGGAUUCUAGUCUUGGCUUUCACCUCUCUAACUCAUCCGGCCCCAUUGGGAUUCCAGAAAUUGAAAUUUCUGUCUUCAAGGGGUUUUCAAAGCCUCGCCUCCCUUCGAUUUUUGUGGAUCGGGAAUUGCACAAAUCUUACAUCAUUUCCCGAGGUCGAGGAAAAGAGCGGCCCAAACUUGCUCGCAUCCCUUGGGUUAUGAUAGAUGGAAAAUUCAUAUACGAUCCAGAGUCAGAGGUGUUGAUUCUCUUAUUAAGGUCAGCUGAUUUCUAUUAUCCACUCUGACAAUCUCCUAUUAGUGUUUUUCCCUUUUUUUUUUUCAAAAUUUUGCAGUUCCGUAUAAUUGAAAAUGCCACUCACUUGUUUCCUAUUAGUAUGUUGAGGCUAUUUGCUUUCUAUCGGUGUUUGUUAAGGUAAUUACUCACAGAUGAAAUUAUAACUUUUAUCUUAAAAUUUAUUGCCAUUGACAGAUGGACGAUUUUUAGUCCAAAGUUUUGUUAUUAACUUCAAUCAAAAUUUUAGAUUGCAGAUUUUUGUCAAUUAUUUCAUUUUUUAUUUUUAUUUUAAAGCAGAAUUGGAGUAUAACAUUUGGAGCGCGCAUACUCUGAUGCAUGCAAUUAACUGUUUUUAAUCGUUGGAUUUUGAAAUUAAUGAUGGUAAGAUGUGUACUUAUUUUUUCUUCCGGACAACCUUGCCUUCUUUCUUCGGUAGCAUAUCUAAUGAAUAUUUCUCUGUUUAGUUAAGGAUGAAUGCUUGGAGUGGUCUGAUUCACAACAACACCUCUUCCAGAAAAUAUGAUACAAGGCAAAGCCAUGUUCUGAAGCAGAAAUGAUACAGCAGUUGCGGUACCCGAGGUACCUUUUGCAUUUAACUUGCCUUUAUUUGUUUUGCUUGUGACUUAAGAACACAUCAUUUCCCAGAGAUUUGGAGAAGCAUCUCAAGAUGCUUAACAAACUUGACAAGCUUCAAGAUGCACUUGCUCCCAAGCAUUGAUUCUUCACAAUGGAAAACCUGUGAGUACACUUAUGCCCGCAAUUAUUGUUAAGUGUUUGCAAUUUUGAUGCAGCGAAAUGGUUUGUGGAUGCAAAGCUUUAAAACUGUUAAGAACUACCCUGCAGGCUUGUUGGAUGUUGUAUACUUCAAAAGCCACCAACACCAAGAACUACAACAGCAAGACUAGGUUUGCGUUGCUUCAAUCAGCUGAAAUAAUGAUGCAAAUGACACUAUCAAGCUGGACUUAGAGACUUGUCAGGUCAAUCAUCCAUUUCAUCAACAGUUAAUGUCAUGAUGGUGGCUAUCAGAGGAAACAAAAGAUCUGUUGGAAUCAAUUCAAACAGUGAGAAGCAUGAGAGGAGCAUUGAUUAUAAAUAGGCUCAAUGAGCUCAUGCUGGUAAGUGGUAAUUAAGAAAUUUGUGAGCUUAGUAUAGUUUCAAUUUUUUUCUGUUUGGGAUAUAGUUGAUAAGUUGAUACUCUGAUUAAGAAGCCUGAUUAUAGUAGCUGACUGUGCUAACUGCGUUCUUUUAUUUUUUAUUUUUUUGGUUUGCCGUCGUUUUUUCUUUUGAUUAUUUGUUCAACAUUAGAUUGAUCUGUUGAAGACUACGAGGAAGAUCCAGACUUGGAUGCAGGCGUGCAGCUCGUAAUAGGUGAGAACAAAUGAAUGCUUUAACCAUGUUUCUCACUUAUGACAAUGCACGGAUCAAAGGCAUCUGAGUUGAUCCUGAAAAUGUGAUGGAAAUAGGUCUCUGUUUUCAUAAAACAGAACAAAUAGAGAUCUCUGAUCACGCCUGAGAAUUCAUUGCAUUGAAAUUUCUACCAUUGGCAAACAUAGAAUAAACUGGGGAUACAUUAGCUUUAGACUCUAUUUUGAGGAGGAAGUUUGUACUUGCAGCCUAUAAAAUCAUAUCCCUGUUGUAUGUUUCUUUGGGAAAUGAAAGAUUCUGUGUGUUCUUUUAUUUCAAGUUUGCUGAAAUCACAUUUGUUUUCUAAGAUGCUUUACAGAAGGUACCAACAUCAUUUUCAAAAAUGCUGGGGUAAGAUACAUCGUGCAGUGCUCCUCAACAUGAGAAUUCCUGGCCGCAUUACCCAUAUGUGGAAUGAUCUGAGAGUACAACCGUGAGAAUGUUGUAAGGAGUACACAACCAGAUGUGAGUAGUUUGAAAAUGAAUUCGCAUGGAAUGAUUUCUUGCCAGUGCAGAAAUGGCUUGGUUCAAAAUAUGCUCAGCUUCAUUGACACUCUUCGGUAGGCCUCUCCGUCCUUCCAUUCUUAACUACAAUACUACUCUUGUCUGUCUAGUUAUGGAAUCUCUCUUUUAAUCCUCAAAGUUUGAAUUAUAUUAUAUUGCCUCUGUGUUACCGCAGAAACUGAGUCAGUUGGUGAUCCUUCAAAACAAGAAAAACCAAAAACAGAUACAGCGCGCGAUAAGAUAAUGAGACAGAUGGCUCCCGUUGCUGCAUGCCACUUGCUUGUGUGCGUAUUGGGACCAUCAUCAACAACAUUGACGUAAACCCAGCUCAAGGUGGGAAGCUAGUUCGAGCUGCAGGGACGUUAACCAAGAUUUUGAGAAAGAACCCACUUCAAGGUGUUGCUUAGUUAGGCUACGUUGUGGAAAUGAGAAAGUGAUUGACCCUAGAUGUCGCGCCACCAUUGGUACAGUGUCUAACCCCAGCCAUGGAGCUAAAAAGCUUAGUAAGGCAGGUCAGAGAAGUUGGUUGGGUCGAAGAGCUGUGGUUAGAGGAGUAGCCAUGAUUCCAGUUGAUCACCCUCAUGUUGAACAAAGCAAAAGUAGCGGUAACAAUGGAAGGUGUUCACUCACACCUUGGGGCAAGCCUUGUAAGUCUGGGAAUUAAACUGCAUCUCCUAAGAAGAAAGAGAAAUCAGCUGUCUGAUAAUAUUGUCCUUUUCUGCUAUUUGGUCUUUUUAACAUUGUUACACUGUUUUUACAUCUUUGAGGUUAGUUUUAGACCAAUUUUUAACUGAUCCAUAAUGAAACUGAAGUUUAAUUUUUGAUUAAACUUUCACUGGUUUUACUCUUCUGUCACUUCAAUUUAGCAUUGAUUUAAGAUACUGAAUUCUGUGCUUGGAGCUUGUAAAUUGGAAAGAGAUAUUUUGGGAUAGAAUGUAGAUUUUGUGUUUUGCUUUCUCAAGCUAGUUGUGACUUCUUAAAAGAGUCAAUCCAUGUCUUUAUAUAUUUUUCUUUUGUCUUGAUUCUGUUUCUUCAUACAGAUUCUUAUUUUAUGCUUCACAUACCACAUGAAAGAUGAAAGCCUUUUCUGUGAUUAGAAUUGACUUGCAUUAUAGUAACUUUAAACCACUUGGAUAUUUUUAUAAUAGCAGUCUGAGAUCUCCUUAAAGGAUUCAAAAGCAUCCACUGGCAUCCACUUUACUCGUAUCGGUCAAAAGUUUUGUGCAAUACAAUAUUAGCUUGACUGUAGCGCAGAGGAGAACAGGUUGGUGUUGGUCUGAAUUCUGAUAUUUGAAUAAAUAUAACAGCUCAUGUGACUCCACCACUUUUUACUUGUUCUGUAGUCUGUACCUACCUCCAUUGUCGGCACUGCCCAUACAAGGUCUUUUAGCUUUUUAAAAAGUUUCAUGAUAUUCCAUAGUUCACAUGGAUUUCUACAGUUUGUAGAAAACCUAAUUAGGGCACAUUUAAUUACUAUGCAGAAGAUUCUUUUAUCUUGCUCACCAAUAAUUCUUUGUACUUAUUUGAAAGAUGUGUUUCAAAAAAAUAAAAAAAAACUAUUUGAAAGAUGAGAAAUCCCUUAGCCGAACGACAAACUCAUCUAUCAGUCCUAUCAAAAAAAAAAAAACUCAUGUUUUAGUGGUUUUUUUUUUUCACUUGUAUUCAGUCGCACAAGUGAAGAUUGUGGGCAAUUUUUUCCUUGAGUAAAAUUGGAAUAGAUGUUUUUAUUGACACAAAUUUUUGAGCUAUGUUUGGGAAACCCUUAGACUUAAGACUUUGUUACGAUGAUAUGUAUCUAAGCUUUCAACAGACCGUUGAGGUCUUAUUAUCAAAAUACUAGAAAUUUACAAUUCAAUUUUGGUAAGGACCAAUUUAAUAAUGCUGUAAUUUUUAAAAUAAUUACCGUUAACUGUGUUGUAAAAAUAAUCAAUUAUGAAGAAAAUUAAUUAAACAUUUAGUAAACUUUAUUUUUACAAGUGCUUUGAAUUUUAAAAAUAGUCAUAUGUGUUCAGAAAAUCUCACUUCUAAAAUAGUAUAAGAAUGGAAAAAACUUAAAAAGACAAAUGUAUAAUAUUUAUUUACACAUGCAUUUAUAAAUAUGUGUAUAUAAUAACAUUUUAUGUGUACAUAUAAUAAUUGAUAACUAAAAUAAAUAUUUUUAUUUAUUAAUUAUUUUUUUGUCUCAAUGUAAUUGGUAAUACUUUUUUUUAAUCUUCUCAUCCUAAGUUUUUUUAUUGUUUUGUACAAAAUUCAAGGUUUGGACUUUUAUAAAAUGUCCACUCAAAAAUAAAUUGUUUUCUAACUAAGAUUUGUUGCUAAUGUAUAACUCAAAGUAAUACUAGCUAUUUGUAAUUUUAUUUCAAAAUUUUUAUUCAAAUGAUAUGGUAACUAAUGUACAUUAGUUGAUAGCAAUUUUUUUUUUUUUACAAUAUUCAAAUCAAUCAAUUGCAUCAUCUCAACAUUUUUAUGAUGUCGUGUUAUUUUAAACGAAUUUUUUAUUUUUAUAUAAAAUUUAUUAUGUUUAACAUCAUUUGCAUAACUUGACCUUUUUUUUUUCCUACAAAUAUUAAGUCAAAUUUACUCACCCUAUAUUUCUAUCUAAAAUCUACCUAAAACUCAUGCAUCACUGUAAAACAAAUCCAAAGAUUGCGGUACGUUUUUCUUGGUAACAAAUCAAUAAUUAGGUCAAGUACUACUACUAAGCGUGCUCAAUUAAUUCUAAAAUACUACGGUGAUCAAAAUCAUACUUGACGCAAGAGGAUAAGGGCUAAACCUCAAUUAGGCAUUAUUCAUCCAAAAUUCGUUGACCCGGCAUUCUUUGCAAGUUGUAGCACGGGACAGCUAAGAUUAGCAAAUGCUGUGGACCAUAUGCCCCCAUACAUUUGUGACAUGUGAAACUUGGCAUUAAAGGAAAGGCAACGUGUUAAAAUUUAAUAGCGCCCAAUUCUUCAUUGAAUGAUUAUCAGAUCCAAUGAGCAUCCUUUGAUUGGAUUAUUUUAAGUCAAUUAUUGGUGGAUUGGGGCCCACUUGACUCUAC